GGUAGAGAGAGGUGAGGUGUCACUCCAGGAGAGGACUCAGGCCGUGGGGUAGGGUCAGGACAGGAAGCGCCCCUUUCCAGAUGACGGAGGGCAGUCGAGCAGCAGACGUCCGCCGAGACCUCCACGAUCACGUUCUCAGGGUCGUGGAUCUUCGGGGCGUCAGCGUUUCAGGGGAUCCCGUCAGUAGGGGCAAACUGAGAGGACUCCACAGUGUGUGAUCUGCGGGGGACCACACUGGCCCCGGCAGUGCGAGCAGAGAGAGGGCAGGUGCUACGGAUGUGGUCAGCCGGGACACAUGAGGGUAGCUUGUCCCCGAGUAGCAUCUCCAGCACCAUCAUCAGCUUCAGCCCCAUCAGCACCCCAGCAGUCUUACGGAGCAGCACCGAGUUACCGCCAGGAGUAUAGAUCGUCGACGCCUCGUCAGGGUGAGCGGCGACAGCAGGCUCCGAGUGGCAGAGUCUACGCAGCUCAGGUGGAGGACUCUACAGCAGCCGACCGAGUAGUGGCAGGUAUCACUUUGAUUUUCGGCAUUCGUACUCGUACUCUUGUUGAUACUGGAGCCUCGCAUUCUUUUGUUAGCCGAGCAUUUGUAUUGUUGCAUGGUCUAGAGUUAGGGGCAUUGUCACAGGCACGAGAGGUGCAGAUCCCGGACUAUGUUUUACAGGUUGCAGAGUGUUGUUGGUCGUGUCCGGUGCAGUUGGAUUCGUGGGUCAUGCCCGCAGACCUGUUGGUGCUAGGGCAGCUGCAGGACUUCGACGUUGUGCUCGGUAUGGAUUGGCUGGCGCGGUGCUAUGCUACUAUUGAUUGUGGAGCGAGGACAGUGACGUUCCGUGAGCCAGGCCAGGAGGAGUUCACUUUCAGAGGCUGCAGGAGCACGUUGUUUGCCACCUGGAUAUCUUCGGCGAGGGCUCGACAGCUGAUGAGUAGAGGAUGUGUGGCCUUUCUGGCGACUGUUGUUGAGGUACCUGUGGCGGCACCAGGACUCGAGGAUAUUCCUGUAGUCCGCGAGUUUCCGGAUAUGUUUUCUCAUGAGUUGACUUUGUUGCCGCCGGAGAGAGAGAUUGAGUUUGUGAUUAAUGUAGUUCCUGGAACUGCACCAAUCUCAAAGGUACCUUAUCGGAUGGCACCGGCUGAGCUGAGAGAGCUAAAGGCGCAGCUUCAAGAUCUGAUGGAUAAGGGGUAUGUGAGACCCAGUGUAUCACCUUGGGGAGCACCGGUGUUAUUUGUAAAGAAGAAAGAUGGUUCGCUCAGGUUAUGUGUUGAUUACCGGGAGCUGAAUAAAGUGACCAUCAAGAACAAGUACCUCUGCCGCGCAUUGAUGAUCUGUUCAAUCAGCUGCAAGGAUCUUGUGUCUUUUCGAAGAUUGAUCUCUAGUCAGGUUACCACCAGUUGAGGGUGAGGGCCGAGGAUGUUCCCAAGACGGCAUUUCGGACUCGGUACGAGCAUUAUGAGUUCACGGUGAUGCCUUUUGGAUUGACGAAUGCCCCUGCCGCAUUCAUGGAUUUGAUGAACAGAGUGUUAAAGCCGUUUUUGGAUAGAUUUGUUGUAGUCUUCAUCGACGACAUCUUGAUUUACUCCCGGAGUGAUGUUGAGCAUGAGGAGCACUUGAGGAUUGUGCUAUAGCUUCUGCGAGAGAAGAAGUUGUAUGCCAAGUUGAAGAAGUGCGAGUUCUGGCUACGGGAGGUUGCUUUCUUGGACCACGUGAUUUCAGCAGAGGGCGUAGCAGUGGACCCGAAGAAGAUUGAUACUAUUCGGGAUUGGCCUAGACCGACGAUGGUGACUGAGGUGCGGAGCUUUCUGGGACUGGCAGGGUAUUACCGUCGGUUUGUGGAAGGCUUUGCGAAGCUUUCCACACCCCUCACACGCUUGACGCGGAAGGGGAUUCGUUUUGUCUGGAGCGACGACUGUCAGAGGAGCUUUGACGAGUUUAGACUGAGGUUGACGUCAGCUCCUAUCCUUACCCUUCCGGUGAUGGGGGAUGGAUUAGUGAUCUACAUUGAUGCAUCGCACAGUGGACUUGGUUGCCUACUGAUGCAGCAUGGUGGGGUGAUUGCUUAUGCUUUACGACAGUUAAAGAAUUAUGAGAAGAAUUACCCUACGCAUGACUUGGAGCUUGCCGCGGUGGUUUUUGCUUUGAAGCUCUGGCGGCAUUACUUGUACGGCGAGCACUGUGAGGUCUUCACCGAUCAUAAAAGUCUCAAGUAUCUGUUCACACAGAGGGUGUUGAACCUGAGGCAGCGCCGAUGGUUGGAAUUACUGAAGGACUAUGACAUUAGUAUUCAGUAUCAUCCCGGCAGGGUGAAUGUUGUGGCAGAUGGUUGAGCAGGAAGUCAGUGUGUGACGCACUGGACCUUUGCAAAUUGCGAGGUUCGAGUGUUUGGGUAUACUUCGAGCUUUUCCACACUUGGUGGAGGAUUGUAGAAUGUUUUCCGACCUAAAAAGUUCGAAAAUCGGAAUUCUUGACAAGUCCUGAGAGUUUUCACUCUCGGGGACCGGUCCCUGGGAGGAGAGACCGGUCCCCCCAGUGAGCAGUGUUGAGGCAGCCUGAGGCAACCGGUCCCUGGCAGGCGAGACCGGUCCCCGAGCGCGUCUUCGCAGUGAGAGACCGGUCCCGCGCAGGGAGAGACCGGUUCCCGAACGCUGGUUUUUCGGGUUCGCAGCGAGAGACCGGUCCCUGCUGGGGAGAGACCGGUCCCUCUGGGCGAAAACUGUCCAGACCAGGCUGUUGCAAUAAUGAAUUUUUGAGGGGCCUCACUGGAUUUUGUUACAUUAGAUGGGCUUAUUAGCCAUUUCCUCCUCUUCCCUCUCUCAUUCUCUCAUUUUCACCCUCUCCCUACAUUUUCUAGAGACAGAAGAAGAAGAAGAAGGAGGAGAAGAAGAAGAGGAGCUAGUUUGAGGGAGCUUGGAGCUCAACCCCUUUCUCUCUUUCCCACCUUUGCAAGGCUUGGAGCUUGCUUGUAGAGCUUAGUGGUGGACCAAACUUCAACCCUAGGGCAUUUUGGGCUUGGAUUGAAGCUUCCAAAGGGUUAGUAUCAUGUUUCCCUCCUCUAGAUUCUUGUUUUUGUGAUUUUUGGGAGAUGAAACCCUAGAAAUGAGAUUUAGGGCUUAUUUUGGGCAUUUUUGAUCUAGGGCUUUUGGACCCAAAUCGAUUGGCUUAGAACCUUCCUAGGGCUUGGAUUGGAAGGGUUCUAGCUCUCUUUUGGAGCUUUGGGAGAGAUUUCUACUCUUGAGGUAAAUUUUGGCCCUUUUUGCUCCUAGGUUAAUGUUUGAUCUCUCGGAUGGUCGUAAUGCCCUCGUAUCUCUUCGCUGAUUACUUUUAGGGUAUUGUGAGACUCGUGGACAACUCCGUUCGGUGAUUCGAAGGAGCACGCGACGGUUCGGUGGGUUUGACCUAGCCUUCAUAUGAGAAAUACUCAUAUAUGAUGAAAUGGGUUUCGUAAAUUGAAAAAGCAUGCGUAAUCAUGUUAGAUAUAUUUAUUGUGAAUUUUAGGAUGUUUAAUAUGCCUAUGUUAUGUGUAAGGAAAUUUCGGACCCCUAUAUAGUAGAGAACUAGCAUGUGGUACUUGCACAUAUUUGGCAUCCUUUUUAGACUUGGAAUCAUAACUCCUAUUGUGAAAAUGAGCACCUCUUGCAUGCAUUUAGGGACUAUUCCUAUAUUGAACUUGAAGGUUCUUGGUAGGCCAUAAAGAGGCUCGGGGACUUGUGUUAUUGUGAAUAGUUGGGCUAAUGUCAUGAAGGGGCAUUGAGCUCGGGUCAUGUGUAAACCUAGUGGAUAGUGCCAUUGAAAGAGUUGGAUAUGCUUGUUCAUUAAAAUGUCUAAGUGUCAUAAAGGGGCACAAGACUUAGUAUAUUGGAACUUCAUAUUGUGAAUUAAACUAGAUCUUCGGGAUGCUAGUGACUAUACCAUGUUAGAGACAUGAGAUUGGAUACUUGAGACUUGGACUAUGCUUGCUUGCCAUUUGUGCUCAUUCGCACAUGCUUGUGAGGGUCGCUCCCUACAAGCCGGCACUCCGGAGUUAGCCUACGCGACUUUUGAUCGCUAGUGCGGUAUUGAGAAGCCUACGGGGUCGAGUGGGACAGACACAUUCCAAGAGUAGGAAUGUCGGGCUAUCACAGGCACUUAGGCGGCACAAGCUGGACUACCUUGGGUGGGUUCUUGAUUGGAAAUGGGAAUCGACACAGUGUUGAGAAUUAAUAAUCACUACUAGUUAGGUUUAGCAGUUGGAUUACUUUGACAUGCUCAUGAUAUAGCAUUGGUACAUGUAGCACACUUGCCGGUUUCUUUGUUGCAUUGUAGUAUACUCGGUUGCUUGGUUAGAGCUUACUCUUUAUGCAUUGGACAUAUUAUCUUAUGAUAGCGUAGAUGUACAUCACUAUGACAUCAUGUUUACUUGAGAUAUAACGGUUUAGCUCUUCAAUUAUGCUUUCGUAUUGUUGUUGCUAUUACUCUUAUUAUUGCUUAUAGUACUUACCCUUUUCUUUUGGGGCCUAGUGGUGCAUAGAGCUGAGGUCAGUAAUUGCCCACUGGGAACUAUAAAAUUAUAGUUCUCAUGCCCUCUUUUUCUCGAUGUUUUUCAAAGCCUUCCACUCAGGGUGAGGCCAGGGAUCGCGGGAAGGGAGUUGCUUCGAGCUAGCUUCCUACGAGGACGACUCGCUAGGUGGUCUACCUCUCGUUGUACUUUAUUUUGGAGAGGUUGAGAGUUUUACCAGUGUACUAGAGACCACCGUUUUUGUAUUAGAGGCUGAUAUUGUAUAACUUACGUUUACUCUUAUGUAUUAGUUAUGUUCUACUACUAUUAGUAUAGAUGUUAGAACCUUACUCGCUCUGAUAUCAUUAGUUGCUUGUUAUUUCACUUCUUCUACUUGUCUUACUACUUGCUUUUACUUCCGCUUUCAUUCUAGACGCCUUAUAUGUGUAGACAUAUGGCGGGUCUGGGCACGCUACCGGGAGGGCCUCCGCCGGUCCCGGGGCGUGACAGAUUAAUUUGGUAUCAGAGCCUAGGGUUGAGUCUUAGUGGACCUAGCGAACCUUAGGCCGGUUGGACUAUAGGAAUUAGGCUCGUGAGAGACGAGGUCUAAUUGACUUGUGAGCGAAAGUAUUAUGAUUGGGUUUAUGACAACUCUAAAAAGUUAGAGUUUGAUCGGAGUGUAUGGCUUCUAACUUCGCGGAGGGUUACGUUGGCGGCCGACAACGUAACAUCGGGAGUUAGUAGUGAAGGACACUUCCUUACUUUCGCAUGAUUUGGGAUUUUAUCUACUUGAGCGGGGAUGCGAUAGCGUGGGUUACUAACUUGCGCUUUUAUGUUCUGUAGUGACGAUGCCGAUUACUCGCUCCCAGUCUGCCGGGGCGGAUGAUGCGGCACACCCCGAGGAGGUCGAGACCUCCGCUACUUCCGGAUCUAGUGAGGUCCGUGACUUGAGGGCCCAGCUUGCGGUUCUCACUGACCUGUUGGCGCAGCAGACGGCAGCGGCGCAUCGACAGGCUGAGGUAGCUCAGCGGCAGGAGGCGCGGAUGAAGCAUCUUGAGGACCUCCUACUUCAGCAGGCGGCAGCAUCGAGGGAGACCCAGGGCCCUACACCGCAAGCACCCGUGGUGGACGUCGCACCGAGGGCGCAGUCCCCCGCGCCCAGCUCUUCACGUGCGGCACCGGCGACCGCACCUCAGGAGGAGGUGGUUGCGGCACUACCUGUUCAGAGACCGGCGACCGGGGCAGCAUUCCCCGUGAUGGCCGAAGGAGCCGAGCGGGAUCGACUCAUGGAGCGCCUCAGUGAGUUCAGGAGGUGCAGCCCGAGGAUGUUUGAUGGCGAGAAUAUCGACCACUGGAUCGUUGAGAAGUGGUUGAUGCACAUGGAGAAACUAUUUCGAGAUACCUUCGUUGAGGAGAGGGACAGGGUUUGGCUCGCCACUCACUUUCUUGACGGCGAGGCCUACCGUUGGUGGUUGGACAUCCAGGACAAUCCCAGCACUGACUUGACAGCGAUCACAUGGACGCGAUUCAAGGAGUUUCUUCUGGCGCACUACUUUCCUACUAGCGUCAAGAGGAAGAUGGAGCAGGACUUGCGUAGCUUGCGCCAGGAUGAGCGGUCCGUGGCCGAGUACGAGAGGGAGUUUUCUCGAUUACUCCAUUGUGUACCGUUUGUUGUGAGGGACGACGAGGACGAGGCCCGCAUCUUUGAGCGCGGUUUGCGGCCUUCUAUCUUCCGGUUGGUGCAGUCUUCCAACCUCCAGACCUACCGGGAGGUUGUGGAUCGAGCUUUGAUAGUGGAGGCAGGAGCGGCGGAUCUGCAGGAGCGUCGCGAGAGCUUGGAGAAAGGGAAGGGGAAGAGACCCGCGGCUGAGGGUGCGAGUCAGACGCACUCACGGAGGCCGCCGAGGCAUCCCAGGAGCAGGAGCCAGUCGCGAGGACGCGGCCAGUCUACCCAGCGAGGAGGACCCGAUCGUCGCCAGGCUCCCCGCUGCGUGAUCUGUGGCGGCCCUCAUUACCCACGACAGUGUACACGCAGCCGGGGCAGGUGCUUCUUGUGUGGCCAGGAGGGCCACUUCCAGUCGGACUGCCCGAGGAGUCCAUUGCCAGCGCCAUCUGCGGCAUCUGCACCAGCAUCGCCAGGUCCCAGCCAGGGGACAUCUUCUGCGCAUCACCAGGCAGGACGGCCGCCAGUUCUGCGACAGGCGGAGGGGUCACGACAGGCCCCGAGCGGGCGCAUGUAUGCGGCCCAGACUGAGGAGGCGGCAGCAGCCGAGAAUGUGGUCGCAGGUAUCAUUUUACUUUAUGGUAUUCGAGCUAGAGCUUUGUUUGAUACCGGUGCAUCGCACUCAUUUAUAGACCGGCUGUUUGCCGAGUUUCAUGGCAUCCCAUUUGUAUCUUUGUUACAUCCCGGCCGAGUCGUAGUACCCGAUUACUCUUUAGACAUUCGGGAGUUUUUCCCCAGUUGCCCUGUUAGGAUUGGAGAUUGAAUCAUGCCCGUGGACUUGCUAGCUUUGCACAAACUCGGGGAGUUUGAUGUUGUGUUGGGCAUGGAUUGGCUGACCAAGUACUUUGCCACCAUCGAUUGUAAGAAUCGAACGGUGACAUUUAGAGAGCCGGGGCAGGCGGAGGUUGUGUACCGAGGAUGCCAGAGUUCGCUGUUUGCGAUGACGAUUAGCUCCUCCCGAGCUAGGCAGUUGAUUAGUAGAGGCUGCGUAGCCUACUUGGCUACUGUUGUGUUGCGGGGAGAGGAUGACGCCCCUAGGAUUGAGGAUAUUCCCGUAGUACGGGAGUUUGGAGAUGUGUUUCCAGCGGAGCUACCAGGCAUGCCUCCUGAUAGGGAGAUUGAGUUUGUGGUAGAUCUCGUCCCCGGGACUACCCCGAUCUCAAAGGCACCCUAUAGAAUGGCACCAGCAGAGUUGAGGGAGCUGAAGGCACAGUUGCAGGACCUCCUGGAUAAGGGUUUUGUACGACCGAGUGUGUCACCUUGGGGGGCACCGGUUUUGUUUGUGAAGAAGAAGGAUGGAUCACUUCGCUUGUGCGUGGACUAUCGUGAACUUAACAAAGUCACGAUCAAGAACAAGUAUCCAUUACCGAGGAUUGAUGAUCUAUUUGAUUAGCUCCAGGGAUCUUGUGUAUAUUCCAAGAUUGACUUGCAGUCGGGAUAUCACCAGUUGAGGAUCAGACCUGAGGAUGUGUCGAAGACGGCUUUUAGAACACGGUAUGGACACUAUGAGUUUACCGUUAUGCCGUUUGGGCUUACUAAUGCCCCGGCAGCUUUUAUGGAUCUGAUGAACCGUGUUUUCAAGCCUUAUUUAGACAGAUUUGUCGUGGUGUUCAUCGACGACAUCUUAGUGUAUUCCCGGAGUGACUCGGAUCACGAGGAACACUUGAGACUUGUACUUCAAGUGCUUCGGGAAAAGAAGCUCUAUGCCAAGUUGAAAAAGUGUGAAUUUUGGCUUAGAGAGGUGGCGUUUUUGGGCCAUGUGAUUUCAGGAUCAGGCAUAGCCGUGGACCCGAGGAAAAUUGAAGCUAUCAAGGAUUGGCCGAGGCCGACGAGUGUGACCGAGAUACGGAGCUUCAUUGGUUUGGCCGGCUACUACCGACGGUUUGUCGAGGGAUUUGCGAAGUUAUCUACUCCCCUCACGAGACUCACGCAUAAGGGUACAAAGUUCAUUUGGAAUGAUGCGUGUGAAAGGAGCUUCCAAGAGUUGAAGCAGCGAUUGACGACCGCCCCGAUCCUAACCUUGCCGACCGCUGGAGCAGGGUAUGUGAUUUAUAGUGAUGCUUCCUUCAAUGGAUUGGGCUGUGUUUUGAUGCAGGACGGGAAGGUGAUCGUGUAUGCAUCUCGCCAAUUGAAGGAAUAUGAAAGAAACUAUCCUACCCAUGAUUUGGAGUUGGCGGCCGUAGUCUUUGCCUUGAAACUAUGGCGCCACUACUUAUACGGCGAGCGAUGUGAAUUAUAUACGGAUCACAAAAGCUUAAAGUAUCUAUUCACUCAGAAGGAGUUGAACUUGAGGCAGCACAGAUGGUUGGAGCUACUCAAGGAUUAUGAUUUGACGAUACUUUACCACCCGGGCAAGGCUAACGUGGUGGCGGAUGCGCUAAGUCGGAAAUCGACUAAGAACUUAGCGAUGCUUAUGGUUACUCAACCGCCGUUGAUUGAGUAGAUGAAGCGGUUGGAGUUGGAGGUGGUGGCUCCUGAUACACCUUUGAGACUGACGACUUUGGUGGUGCAACCUACACUUUUGGAUAGGAUUAAAGAAAAGCAAGCUUCCGACUCUAGAGUUGCAAAAGGUUCGAACUAAGAUGGUUGAUGGUCAGUCAGAGCGGACCAUACAGACUCUAGAGGACAUGCUGAGGGCAUGCGUCCUGGAUUUUGGAGGAGGGUGGUAUCGACAUGUGAGACUGGUUGAGUUUGCGUACAACAACAGCUAUCAAACGAGCAUUCAGAUGGCUCCGUUUGAGGCGUUGUAUGGACGCAGAUGUCGAUCCCCCCUGUUUUGGAGCAAUGUGGGUGAGCGGAGGACACUUGGACCGGAGAUUCUACUUGAGGCUGAGGAGAAGGUGAGAGUUGUUCGACGACACUUUCUGACAACCCAGAGCCGACAGAGGAGCUACGCCGAUACCAGGAGAUGAGACUUGGAGUUCCAGGUUGGAGAUCAUGUAUUCCUUAAAGUCUCGCCGUCCAGAGGGAUUCGCCGAUUUGCAGUACGGGGAAAGCUCAGUCCACGGUUUGUUGGCCCUUUCGAGGUAUUGGAGCGAGUGGGACCAGUAGCAUACAGGAUCGCUCUACCCCCGCGACUAGCUGGCAUUCACGAUGUCUUCCACGUCUCAGCAUUGAGGAGAUAUGUUUUCGAUCCCUCUCACGUGAUUGACUUCACUCCACUAGAUAUUGGCGAGGAUCUGAGAUACGAGGAGCGACCAUUGCGGAUUUUUGCUUAGGAGACGAAAGAAUUGCGCAAUCGGGUCAUCCCGUAUGUGAAAGUGCAGUGGAGCAAUCACGAGGAGCGGGAGGCGACUUGGGAGCUUGAGACGGUGAUGAGAGAGUCCUACCCCGAUCUGUUCGUAACUCCGUGUUGAGGUAUGUUUAAGUUUCGAGGACGAAACUUUUUGUAGUGGGGGAGGAUGUAGUAUCCUUGUUAUAUUUAUUAAGUAAUUAAUUUACUUAUUUAUUUUUAGGUCGGUUGGUGCUAAUUGAGGUGGCUUGGAUGCCACGUGCACCCAUGCAUGCUUAUCAUCAAAUCAGGUGGGCAUUGCCUAAUUUUUUUUACUUCUCUCUUUGUUCGACCGAAGCAAAGAGCUCGGUGGAGGUAGCCGCGAGCACGAGUUCGACGCCGACGACGCGUCGCGAAGCCAUUCGAGGGUACGGUUGGGAUCGUAGCGCUGCGAGGAAGCUAGGCGAGGGUGCGUUUUCGCCGUUCUCGACGCCGCGUCGAUGUCCGAUUAGCCUUUGAGGUGAGUGUUCCGUUGCAUUGCUUCAAGUAUUGUCAUUUCGAGCUUGGUGCUGAUUUGCAGAAUUUCCAGCGUCGACCGUUGGUAUUUCAGUUCGUACUCGGCGUAGGAGCGUCGAUUUUCGACGGGACUUGGUUCGUUGAAUUCGGGACUUCGAGAGAAAUCCACGAAGCCCUUACUUACUGGAUUUGGUAAAGGUUUGCUAGGUCGGAAUUUCGCUCCUCUCUAUUGCUGUUUUUGAGGUAGAAUUAAUGUUUAUUGUCGGAUUCUCCGUGUAGAGUUUGGCGGGAGCUUGACUUCGGGCCUUGGGAGGUUUUCGGACGUUUCGGCAGGUUGUUCCGCAGCCGAGGGGAGUUCCGUGCUGCAAGGGAUUAGCGAGCGAGGUGGGUUAAUCAUCGGUUUAUACUCCUAAGUGCUUAGUAGUCAACAUGUAUGAAUUUUAGAUUUUGUGCAGUUUACUUUAGCUCGAAUUCAUGGAUUAUUAUGUGAAUGGCUAAUCUGAAUUUGGAGCAUGUGAUAAUAAAUUAAAUAAAUAUACAUGUUGGACUUGGAACUUGACUUAGGAGAAAACAAGCGUUUUGGGACCUGUCACCUGUUUAAAUUACCUGAUUUAGCCCUAGGGGCCGUUGUAUUAAUUUAUACUGUUGCAGUAUCCGCAAAGUAAGUAUUCCAGGUAGUUUAGUUUUCAGUUACGCUCGUGCUGGAAUGCCGAGUGUUUUUUACUGUAGCGUUCAGGCUGUUCCGGAUUGUUGGGUGCCGUCGGGAUUGACGGUGGACCUGUAUCGCCUUUUUGGCGUUGGAUUGUGUCGAGGACACGACACCUGUUGGUUGUUAGACCAGUUUUAGUCGGUUACUGGACUUUGGCUUUUGAGAGCCUGAUUGAGCUCGACAGAGAUACGCUGCAUACUCGGUUGGGUAGCUCCCACGAGUGCCACUCCGGAGACGGGCUUUGUGCUUUCGCGUUGGUGUCGCUCAUGUCGGUUGGACUUGCUCUCCACGGACCAGUUAGUGUGGAGGUAGCUGGACAGUCACAACUGGGCAAGGACGGGUGUAUUCACAGUCCCAGGGACGGGUAGGUUUACAGUCCCGAUUGGAUUGGGUCAGAUUUGACAUUUCCUACAGUUGAUUAGUGUAGAGCAUGAUAGUGUAGUGAUUUAUAGCGGUAGAGUUAUUUCCUACUUUUUUCCUACUACCUUUGCUCCCUACUGUAGACUUAGUGCGUGGACCGAUAUUGUUUUGGGCGGCACCCAUUGAGGACUAUUUGUUUUUACAGUAGUUCUUACGCCCUGUUGUUACCCCUGUUUUGCAGAGCCACAGGUUUCGGCUGCUGCGCCUUCCGCGGAUCAGGAUCGAGGCAAGGGCGUCGCGAGUUAGAGCCCUACCCGCCGAGCAGAGCUAGAGGCACCCUACUGCAGGUAGUUGUUUUAUUUCGAGCUUAUGUACAUAGUACUUAACUCGCCAGUGCGAGUAACUCUGUAUUUUGAUUUUUGAACUAUGUAUAUGAAGCUCAGUUUGUUUAGCUUUUGUUUACUCUAGCAGCUCUAUACUACUGUUUGUAGUAUUGUAUGGUUUACAGGUACAGCUGUCACUUCGUAUACAGGAAAAAUUUCUUUGUAUAUGGCGGAUUUGUCGGCGUGCCCGGGGAACGUGUAAUCCGGGGCGUGACACCAAAUCCAAGAACACCCAACAAAUGAGCCACCUGAAAAUUUGAAUCACAUCAUCGAAAAGAAACUCGGUUUAGUGCAAAAUCAAAUAAUUUGACAACCAAAUUCAUUUGUUGAUGGAGAAAUUAUUUUAAAACUCAAAAUUAACAAAUUGAUAUGUAACCAUAUAUCCAAAAUGCCCAUAGCCAUGUCAUUAAUAUUACUCAAAAGAUAUGACUCAAAAAUUAUCUUAGCACCUUUCCGAAGGAUACGAGACAUGUGGUAAAUGCUAAUUUUUCACAAAUAAUGGCAUGAAUUUACAACUAGCUUUGAUACAUGUUACGUAACAACAAAAUAAGACCAUUAAUUUCUGGACUUCUGCAACAACAAAAAACCUGGCAACAAACUAAAAAUUACUAUAACAAGGUAAUCAAUAAAAACAAGAUGUUGAGAGGAAUAGUCCUAACUAAAUCCUAUAACAAUUAGAUCCUAUUAAGAGAUUUAAAAAGAAGGCUAGUACACAUGAACCACUAAUUGGCUGAUACUAGUUCAAUUCAAGAUGAGAGCUCCACCAUACAUGACUGUUUUACAAAGAGAAAAAGAGAUUAAUCUAAGCGAUAAUACAUCUAACUUAAUUCGAAGCCAGAGAAGCUGUAGCGAAGGUCAUGCAUUUAUCAAUGCCAAAUUCUUCUGUGAAACGAAGCAAUCAGAAUGAUACAAGCCAAGUAAGCACAAUGCAACUUGCCUAAAGGAGACAAUAUUUUAACAAAAUUAUGGUAGACCACUAUUACAGUUGUUAACAUCACUAAAGAAGCUGAAGAGCAUAAAACUGUCUCUGUUAGUACAUCGUACUUCAGCCUUCUCCAAGUAUCAACAAAAGUCAGCACACAUGUAGAGGAAAUAAGUACUUUGACAUAUUUUCACAAGAAUAUUAUUUGAUCUUUACCUUAUUGGCCCCUGCUGGAUCAGAAGACAAGUCCUUAGGCACUAUCGAAUUGGGGACCUCAAGAUCAUCAUCCUCUGUUAAGGAUUUGUAUGAUCCUUUGCAUUAUUGUUUGCUUUUGUUUAAGUAAAUUCAAUUCUCUCGCACUUAACCAUCUGGGAUGAUAAUUAGGGACCAUGAUAGCAACUAGUUGUUGAAUAUUUUGUGUAGAUGGUGAUGCACAAAAUCCACUAUUCUGUCCAUUUGCACCUGAGUAACCUUUAUGUGCCAAAAGAUCUUCAUCGUUGAUCACAUCAUUCACAUCCAUAAACUGGUCACAAACAUCUAAUCCUGCACUAGAAUAUUCUUGUAAAUAUGAAAUAAGAUUCUCAAGAUAUGGACGAGAGAUUACAAUAAGAAGGAAAAGCAAAAUGCCACUAUAAAGUUAAUCUGCAAGACACAAGGGAAAAUACCUGUAACAGACCAAAAUCGUUUAUUCAAAAAAAUGUGUAACUAUGUCUUUUCGAAGAUUGAUCUCCAGUCAGGUUACCACCAGCUGAGGGUAAGGGCCGAGGAGGUUCCCAAGACGGCUUUUCGGACUCGGUACGGGCAUUAUGAGUUUAUGGUGAUGCCUUUUGGAUUGACGAAUGCCCCUGCCGCAUUCAUGGAUUUGAUGAACAGAGUGUUCAAACCGUUCUUGGACAGGUUUGUGGUAGUCUUCAUCGACGAUAUCCUGAUUUACUCCCGGAGCGAUGCUGAGCAUUAGGAGCACUUGAGAAUUGUGCUACAGCUUCUGCGACAGAAGAAGUUGUAUGCCAAGUUGAAGAAAUGCGAGUUCUGGUUACGAGAGGUUGCUUUCUUGGGCCACGUGAUAUCAGCAGAGGGAGUAGCAGUGGACCUGAAGAAGAUUGAUGCUAUUCGGGGUUGGCCCAGACCGACGACGGUGACAGAGGUGAGGAGUUUUCUUGGAUUAGCAGGAUAUUACCGUCGGUUUGUGGAAAGCUUUGCGAAGCUUUCAACACCCCUCACUCGAUUGACGCGGAAGGGGAUUAGAUUCAUCUGGAGUGAGGAUUGUUAGAGGAGCUUUAAUGAGUUGAGACAGAGGUUGACGUCAGCUCCUAUCCUUGCCCUUCUUGUGAUGGGGGGAAGGAUUUGUGAUCUAUAGUGAUGCAUUGCACAGUGGACUGGGGUGUGUGUUGGUGCAGCAUGGUAGGGUAAUUGUUUAUGCUUCACGGCAAUUAAAGGAUUAUGAGAAGAAUUACCCUACGCAUGACUUGGAGCUUGCCGCGGUAGUCUUUGCUUUGAAGCUAUGGCGACAUUACUUGUACGGCGAGCACUGCGAGAUUUUCACGGAUCAUAAAAGUCUCAAGUAUCUGUUCACACAGAAGUAGCUGAACCUCAGGCAACGCCGGUGGUUAGAGUUACUGAAGGACUAUGACAUUAGUAUUCAGUAUCAUCCUGGUAGGGCGAAUGUAGUGGCAGAUGCGUUGAGCAGGAAGUUAGUGCAGAGCCUGAGUUUGAUGAUCACUGAGCAGAGGCCAUUACUCAGGAGUUCCAGUGGCUGAGGCUUGAGAUAGUGUCCCCUUGGUAUACUGCGAGACUGAUGUCUCUGGUCUUGCAGCCCACUCUGUUGGAUAGGAUCCGAGAGAAACAGAGUGGAGAUCCGUACUUGUCGAGGAUUCGAAAGCAGCUACAUAGGGGACAGGCUGAGGGUUUUACUGUGGACAGUUCGGGAGUACUACAGUACAGGGACCGACUGUGUGUGCCGGUGGAUUCAGGGAUCCGAGAGGACAUCUUGAGUGAGGCUCAUUGUUCUCCUUAUACGGUUCACCCUGGGGGAACCAAGAUGUAUAAGGACUUAAAGGAACAGUUUUGGUGGAAUGGAAUGAAGAGAGACAUUGGCAGAUAUGUGGCUCAGUGUUUGACUUGCCAACAGGUGAAGGCCGAGCAUCAGGUACUUGCUGGCAAGCUUCAGAGUCUGCCAGUGCCCGAGUGGAAGUGGGAGCAGAUUACGAUGGACUUUGUCGUGGGAUUGCCUAGAGCGCAGCUAUACCUGGAUGAGAUCGUCAGGUUGCACGGCGUGUCAAUAUCGAUUGUAUCAGAUCGAGACCCGAGGUUUGUGUCGCAUUUGUGGAGGAGUUUACAAGCAACUUUGGGGACUCAGUUACAUUUCAGCACUACUUUUCACCCACAGACAGAUGGUCAGGUAGAGCGGACCAUUCAGACUCUAGAGGACAUGCUGAGGGCAUGUGUCCUGGAUUUUGGAGGAGGGUGGUAUCGACAUUUGAGACUGGUUGAGUUUGCGUACAACAACAGCUAUCAAACGAGCAUCCAGAUGGCUUCGUUUGAGGCGUUGUGUGGACGCAGAUGUUGAUCCCCUUUGUUUUGGAGCAAUAUGGGUGAGAGGAGGACAUUGGGGCCUGAGAUUUUGCUGGAGGCUGAGGAAAAGGUGAGAGUCGUUCGACGACACCUUUUGACAGCUCAGAGCCGCCAGAGGAGCUAUGCCGAUACCAGGAGACGAGACUUAGAGUUUCAGGUUGGAGAUUAUGUUUUUCUCAAAGUCUCGCCGUCCAGAGGGAUUCGCCGAUUUGGAAUACGUGGAAAGCUCAGUCUACGAUUUGUUGGCCCUUUCGAGGUAUUGGAGCGAGUUGGACCAGUAGCCUACAGGAUUGCUCUACCACCCCGACUUGCUGGGAUUCAUGAUGUGUUCCACGUCUCGGCGUUGAGGAGAUAUGUUUUCGAUCCCUCUCACCUGAUUGACUUCACUCCACUAGAGAUUGGCGAGGAUCUGAGAUACGAGGAGCGACCAUUGCGGAUUCUUGCUCAGGAGACGAAAGAAUUGCGCAAUCGGGUCAUCCCGUAUGUGAAAGUGCAGUAGAGCAAACACGAGGAGCGGGAGGCGACUUGGGAGCCUGAGACGGUGAUGAGAGAGUCCUACCCCGACCUGUUCAUUACUCCGUGUUGAGGUAUGUUUAAGUUUCGAGGACGAAACUUUUUGUAGUGGGGGAGGAUGUAGUAUCCUUAUUUUAUUUAUUAAUUAAUUAAUGUACUUAAUUAUUUUAUGUCGGUUGGUGCAUGCAAAUUAAGGUGGCUUGGAUGCCACGUGCACCCAUGCAUGCUUAUCAACAAAUUAGGUGGGCAUUGCCUAAUUUGUUUACUUCUCUCUUUGUUCGACCGAAGCAAAGAGCUCGGUGGAGGUAGCCGCGAGCACGAGUUCGACGCCGACGACGCGCCGCGAAUCCGUUCGAGGGUACGGUUGGAAUCGUAGCGCUGCGAGGAAGCUAGGCGAGGGUGUGUUUUCGCCGUUCUCGACGCCGCGUCGAUGUCUGAUUAGCCUUUGAGGUGAGUGUUCCGUUGCAUUGCUUCAAGUAUUAUCAUUUCGAGCUUGGUGCUGAUUUGCAGAAUUUCCAGCGUUGACCGUCGGUAUUUCAGUUCGUGCUCGGCGUAGGAGCGUUGGGUUUUGACGGGACUUGGUUCGUUGGAUUCGGGACUUCGAGAGGAAUCCACAAAGCCCUUACUUGCUGGAUUUGGUAAAGGUUUGCUAGGUCGGAAUUUAACUCUUCUCUGUUGCUGUUUUUGGAGGCAGAAUUAAUAUUUAUUGUCGGAUUCUCCGUGUAGAGUUUAGCGGGAGCUUGACUUCGGGCCUUGGGAGGUUUUCAGACGUUUCGGCAGGUUGUUCCGCAGCCGAGGGGAGUUCCGUCUGCCAGGGAUUAGCGAUCGAGGUGGGUUACGUCGGUUUAUUCCUAAGUAUUAUAGUAGUCGACAUGUAUGCUUUCCUAUUUUUGUAAAUAAUGUGGUAGCUCAAUUUCGUCGAUUGUAUAAUGAAUGAAAUUAGCUUGAGGGCAUUACUUGUAACUAUAAAUAUACAUGUUGGACUUAGAAUUAAACUUAGGAGACAACCAGCGUUCGGGACCUGGCAUAUGUUAAACUACCUGAUUUAGCCUUGGGGCCGUUGUAUUAUUUUAUAUUGUUGCAGUAUUCUCAUAGUAAGUAUUCCAGAUAGUUUAGUUUUUAGUUACGCUUGUGCUGGGAUGCCGAGUGUAUUUUUACAGUAGCGUUCAGGCUGUUCCGGACUGUUGGGUGCCGUCGGAGUUGACGGUGUACUCGUAUCGCCUUUUUGGCGUUAGAUUGUGCCGAGGGCACGUUACCUGUUGGUUGUUAGACUAGUUAGAGUCGGUUACUUGACUUAGCCUGUGAGAGCGGUAUGAACAUGACAGAGAUACUUGUAAAUUCGUUGGGUCGCGCCCACGAAUGCUAUUCUGGAAUGAGGUUUCAGUGCGAUGAGUGUCGCAGUUUCUGUUGGAUAGUUCUUGAGCCGGCUACCCUCGGGGUGGUGUACGGCGUAGCUAGAUACAGGCAGGGUGGGUCCGUUUUGGGCAGCACGGGUGAGAUAGUGAGUGACGCUUUUCCCUACCUUUGGUGAGGUUGUGACGUGAGUGGAGUCUUAGCCGUCCUGUUGGACCUUUUCUGGAACCGACUACUCUUGUGAUAUGGUGUAGUCUAAUUAGGCGAGACGGGUGUAUUCACAGUCUUUACAGAGUUUUCUCCGCCGGUUACUCUUGAGAUACGGUGUAGUCUAGUAGACGAGACGGGUGUAUUCACAAUCUCUAGAGAGUCUUCUCCGCCGGUUACUCUCGAGCUAUGGUGUCACCUAAUUAGACGGGAUGGGUGUAUUCACAGUCCCUAGAGAGUUUUCUCCACCAGCUACUCCUGGAGUAGGUUACGGGUUCGAUCCGACAGGCGGGACGGGUGUGUUCACAGUCCCUAGUGAGAUUGAGUUAGUUGUGACUUUUACUACAGUUGGUUAGUGUAGAUCAUGCUAGUGUAGCGAUAUGUAGCGGUAGAUUUCUUUCCAGCUUUUCCUGCUAGCCUUGUUACCUUCUGUAGACUUAGUGGGUGGAUCGAUGAUUGUUGAGGGCGGUACCCACUGAGGACUACUUGUUUCUACAGUAGUUCUCACGCCCAGUUGUUACUCCGUUUUUGCAGAGUCUUCGUCUUCGGCUGCUGCUGUUGUUGGUCAGGAGCUAGGCAAGGGCGUCACGAGUUAGAGCCCUACCCGAGGAGCAGAGCUAGAGGCACCCCUACUGCAGGUAGAUGUUUUGGUUUGGGUUCAUGUACAUACAGACUUUUAACUCGCCAGCGCGAGUAGCUUUGUACUCUGGGAUUCAGUGUAUGUAUAUGGAACUCGGUUUCUUUUACUUUACUAGUUCUUCUAGCAGCUCUAUACUACUGUUUGUAGUAUUGUUGUUUUACAGGUACAGCUGUCGCUUCGUAUACAGGGGAAAUUCCUUUGCAUACGGCGGAUUUGUCGGCGUGCCCGGGGAACGUGUAAUCCGUGGCGUGACACUUCUAGUUCUUCGAUUGCUGUCGGGGAUACCGAGGAGGUUUCUUAGCAUUUGGCCGGCCCCCGGUGCUACCCGCUGCCUGCUUCUUUCCCUUGUCCCUUGCCUCUGCUGCGGACUCGCACUCCUCACGUUUGUGGGCAUAGCCAUGCUCCGCCCAUAAGACUCGAUCAAAGACCUCAGCAAAGGUCGUGAGCUUAAGGAUUUGCAUGGCCCUAUAGAUUCCCGGCCGAAGUCCUCGCAAGAACCAAUCGGCCCGGUCCCGGUCAUCACGAACAACCUCCGGGACGCAAUCGAUGAGGUGGGAGAACUCCUGUUCGCAGUCUGCUACCGAGCGAUCUCCCUGCCUCAACUUGCGGAAUUUUUCUUGCAAUUAACUUCCGCUUCACCGUGUCGAGGAAAUAAUUGGCGAACGCCGCCCUCCUGAACUCCCCCCACAACAUAGGCGGAAGAUUGGGAGAUCGAUCCCGCCUAACACACUUCCACUACACCUUCGCCGCCUUCUCAAGGCAAUGCGUGGCGAGGUACACCUUGUCCUUCUCCGAGGUAUGCAGGUCCUCGAAGAGCGUCUCUAUGGAGUCGAUCCAUGACUCCACAACCGCCGGUUCCACCACUCCCCCUUCGAAGAUAGGUGGGUUGAACUUGUUGAACUGUACGAGAGCCGCUAACGCACGCUCCCGUUCCGCCUCCUCCGCCGCACUAUCGGGGUUUGAAGCUCCCGAACCAGCCAACACCACUGUAAUAGGCACGGCUGCCGCCGCCACGCCCUCAGCCGCACUCGGCACCACUGCAGGGGGUAUAGGGUGCACGGCCUCCACGGGCGCUGCCGCUUGGCACUGAACGGACUCCGCUUGCUGCCGCACUACGCCAAUAAGCGAGGCCAUUUGCUCCCGAAGCUCCCCGUCGCUACCUGCUCCGGGUUGCACAGGAGCCGCACUCGAUUCCUCGGCCAUAGACCUCGUUCGCGGUCGACCACGAGGCAACUUAGGUUGUCCACGAGGAGGCAUUGCUUCUUGAAAUGAAGCAAUUCACAUUAGUCUCUUAGGAAACAUACUCGAUUAUACCCAAUCAGGCGAAAGCAUACAAGUGCAUUUAUUUUCAUUCCCAAGCAUCAUGUCGUUGGCCGCCGAUCACAACACAAGGAAAAGAAAACAAAUAUCAACUUAAAUUUAGUCCCUAACCAUAUUAGAGACAUAUUAACAUUAACCCAAUCAUAAGCUUUCGCUAUACUUUGUUCAACGUCACUCACGUUUCCUAGGUCCUUAAGGUCUUUCCAAUCCUAAAACUCUCUAGGUCCAUCUUAUACUUUCACUUUUUGGCUUUUACGCUCUGAUACCAUUUUAUCUGUCAUGCCCCGAACCUGGUCCUAUUUGGUAGAUUCGGACCCGUCAAACAGAUGCCGAACGGACAGAGUCUCCCCUGUCUGCCCAAGGCUCAACAUCCUGUACAAAUAGAGUAUGAAUUUUGCACAAAAUGGAAGCAUACACAAUGGCUUGCACGAGGGCAAGCAAUAGCCAAUAGUGAAAGUAAUAAACUACACUUAGGAAAUUAUUUACAUUUUUGCAUCAUUUCUUCUCUUUUACAUCACAUGAUCUCAAAAUAUAAGUUCUUGUAUUUAAAUAUAAAAUCUUUAACAACAUUCAUGUUUUUUUUCCUUUAACAUCUAUAGUCAUCAAAAUAUAAAAGAUGAUGUACAAGGGUAUGCAACUAAACCAAAAUAGUAAACCCACUCGGGAGGUCUCUAUCUAGGGCACGAUGCCCUUACCGCGGUCGUCCGUCAGCUCGCUCGGUCCCGGCUCUGUGAAAAUAGUGGGGUGAGAACUACAACAAAGUUCCUAGUGGGUUCGGCAACUGACCACGCCGACUUUCCCACUAGGUCUAAAUCAGGUAUAAUAGAAGAAUAGAUUAAUAGUAACCAAGCUAAAACAAAUGCAACUAAUAUAUCUGAACAAUAAAUAAUGCUAUGCUCAACAAAGUACUCAUGAUGAAUGCAAGGUCACUGCUCAGAACCCAAUCUCUAGGCUAUCCCGUAGGUUUCGCCCACAAUAGACUCACAAACUCAAAUUUCAAAAAUCGGAGAGACUACUACGCCUGAUGGGACCGUCCUCUGGGGAGGCUACUACGACCCAGUGAUGACAACUCCAGAGCACAUCGCCCGAGGGGGAGCUACUACCCUCGAACAAGGACUUACAGGUGAGUAUGAUCCAAUUCUUAACUAUAAGGAUGUCGAGUUCAAUCCAUUCCUUAACUAUAAGGAAGCCAUGCACUAGGACCCUUAACUCUAAGGUUGAAAUUGUCAUAAUGUCACUAUCACACUUUUACUUGUAUUCUUUACUUUCACUAGUGUCAUAUACACUACUAUGUUCUUGUACACAUGCCACACUUGUUUUAUAAGUGUUCCACUCUAGCAUUCUUGACUCGUCAAUGCCAUUCUCUACCUCUAUGUCAAUAAGUCACAUUUGUUUUCUAGUUCACUAAAGUUCUUGUCACUUGUCAUGCAUAAAUAGGGUUUAUAAAAUUCUCACAUUCUUGCUAGUAACUCACAUGCAUUUGUACUCACAACAUGCCAUAAGAAGCUCACAAUUACCCUACUAUGCAAUAUACUCAAAUACAUACAUAUGCUCAAAUAUGAUACUUUAGACAUAAAAGGAAUUCCGAGGUAUUCGGAAUGCACGACCCACCUUAGAUGGUUGUAGGAAUGCUACAAUGAAUUUCUUAGAAUUUUUGAAGCCCUACUUUAUCGCCUGCGGCAAAACGAAGCCAAAUUAGGUUUUUUCUCAAUAACUUUAUCUAGACCUUUUCAUAACGUCAAACGGAGUUAUCCCACACGUCGGGAAUACCCCCAAUUAGGUUUCUACAAGGUCAUUUAGAACCAUCUAAUUAUUCCUAGGGCAUAAUAAGUAAACCCUAGGAAAUCACCAUUAGAGCACAUGAAGAAAACUAGGAUUUUCAUGUGUUCUAAGCCAUUACUAGGUUUCUAUACAUGAGAGAAGGUCAAAACCUAGUUUUUUAGGGCAUAAAACUAAACCCUAUACCUAUUGUCACAAAACACCUCACCUUGGCCCAAAGCUCUCCAAGGUCCUUCUUGUUGGAGAGAUCCCAAACCCUCAAAGCCUCCAAAUCCACCUUCAAAAGCCUUCUCCACUCCUUCUCCUUGCUCUUUAGGGAGAGUUCUAGAGAGAGAAAGAGAGAAAUGAGAGGGAAGAUGUGUGUUCGCUGUGUGAGAGGGAGAGAGGAGUGUUGGGGAUAUAUAUAAGGUGCUACAAUUACCAAAAAUCCCUCUACUUAUUAAUAUUUGCAGCUGUUUCCAACCUGCUGUCGACCCAAAGUGUACCGGUACACUUUAGGGUGUCACCGGUAACACAAUCACGUAUGGCCAAACCCGGGUUUGGGGCAUUUGUACCGGUACACCUUCAUUUUGUACCCAUACACUUAUCUGUACCGGUGACAACUCUGUUAAGUAUUGUGUAUUGGCAAGUUUUGUGAAGUGAGUCGGAGUCUUGAAGAACCGGUGCGUAUCGUUGAAGAUCGAAAAAUUCAAGAUUUCGAAGAAGUCAGAAAAUAUCUCAUGACGUGAAUCACGAUGCUCAGGUAAAGUAUAAAUUCAUGUUAUGGUGAUUCAUACUUAGUUGUAGACAUUAGAAUCAUGUUAUCAAUGUCUAAUGGAUAAGAAAGUGCAUCGAUUCUAAAGUCUAUAAAUAAGCUAUUGGGCUUCUCUAACAGAUUAAGCAUCACGAAAAUACAUAUUUGAGAAACCCUAGAGGCUAGGAUUUGAUCAAAAAACCUAUUUUCUACAAAAAGCCUCUUUUAGAUCAAAUCGUGAUAUUGAAAUUUGAUAUUAAUAUGUCGAUUUGAUCUCCGCUUCGCUUGGAGUUCUAUUCCCUAGUUUUCUACGAUACUCCAAAGCGAAGGAUCACCAUAUUCAUGAUAUUCUUCAUGGUGGCGUCGUGGAUUCGGCGUAUUUGACGGCGGUUCGUGGAUUCGGAUCGUGGGCUCGUGGAUUCGAGUGGCGUCGUGGAUUCGGCGUGAUUGAAGCUUCGUGGAUUCGAAGUGGAGGCGUUUGUGGAUUCGGACGUGAGGGCGUGGACAACCCGGAGGGUAGCACGAAGAUUCAUAGGAGGUUAAGAGAGGUUAAGUCCGUGGAGUCGGUAAUCACCUUGUAAUCUUUUCUCUUAGUGAAUUGUUUUUUCAUGUGUUGGUCCCGUGGGUUUUUCUCCAAAUUGGAGUUUUCCCACGUAAAUCUCGGUGUGUUUUUUAUUUUCCGCAUUUAUUUUUAUUGCAUCGAGAUUUGUGGUUUUUGGCCGUUACGCCUAUUCACCCCCCUCUAGGUGAUAGAUACAAUCUAGAUAGAUCCUCGGGUUCCUCGAAACUUUCAAUUGGUAUCAGAGCGGGAUCUAGAUAAAUUGUUAUCUAAUGGCAGAAGGUGGUAACAUUAAUCGACCUCCGCUUUUCGACGACACGAAUUAUGCCUAUUGGAAAGUUCGCAUGAGAGCUUUUCUAAUUGCUAUCGAUGAGCGGGUUUGGCAAUCAAUUGAAUUUGGGUGAAAACAUCCGAUAGAAAAGGUCGAUAAUGUUGAAAAGCCAAAACCACGGAAGAAAUGGACGAAGGAAGAAAACGAGACAUCUUCGUUUAACGGCAAGGGCAUAAACGCUUUAUUUAAUGCUGUCACGCCCCGGGACCCAGCGGAAGCCCGCCCGGCGCGUGCCCAGACCCGCCAUAUGUCUACAACAUAUAAGGCGUCUAAAAACAACAAUAAUGAAAGCAAUAAUAAAAGACAUCUAGGAGUAUCAGAGCAUAGUAAAUGUCUAAUUGCUACAACAGGAGAUAUGGAUAAAACUGUAAAUCCGCUAAAUAAAACAUAAAGCGAGUACAAUGGGAAUCCCAAAUACAAGUGUUAUAGGUAGGUACAUAGGUGGUCUCUAUACAUGGAUACAAAAAUCUCACACUCUCCCAAAAUACAAAAGAAAGAGCAAACCACCUAAGUAAGAACCGCUCCUCGCUAGCUAGCUAAGCGAUCCCCUUGCCGCGAUCCCGCGCCUCCGCCGGUGCCGAAGGCUCUGAAAGGAAAACCAGAAAACAGGGGCGUGAGAACUAUUAAAAAUAGUUCCCAGUGGGCAAUUACUGACUUUAGUGAACUGCGCCACGAGGCCCAAAAGCUACAAGAAGAGGUCAGUGACUAUAACUGUAGGAAAAUGAAAGGCAAGUAAAAAGUAACUUACUACAACAUGAUAUCUCUACUUAGCAUAAAUAGCAUAAGUAUGAAACCACUAUGCAUGAAGUAAAAGUCCCAACUAUCAUAAUGUUCCCAAUGCGAAAUAGUAAAGUUCCGUUGUUUACUAUUCUAGUCAAUGUCCAAAUAAUACUCUAAGUCACCAUCUGUCCACAUGUCAUGAUGACUCCGCAAGUCAAAUCUGAAGAGACCCACCCGAAGGCUGUCUAUGGCCCUGAGACCCACCCGUAGGCUGUCUGGCCGGUGCCGAGCCUAAUGGCCCCGUGGUAGUCAACACCCCCACCCUAGGAGUGAGCCUGGCCCACGGCAAUCCACUUCGGCGCCCAAUCCCGCACGGCGAAUAUGUAUCGCGAUGGCCAUCUCCGGAGUGCCGGCUUGUAGGGAGCGACCCUCACAAGCAUGUGCGAAUGAGCACAAUGGCAAGUAGUCAAACGAUCNNNNNNNNNNNNNNNNNNNNNNNNNNNNNNNNNNNNNNNNNNNNNNNNNNNNNNNNNNNNNNNNNNNNNNNNNNNNNNNNNNNNNNNNNNNNNNNNNNNNNNNNNNNNNNNNNNNNNNNNNNNNNNNNNNNNNNNNNNNNNNNNNNNNNNNNNNNNNNNNNNNNNNNNNNNNNNNNNNNNNNNNNNNNNNNNNNNNNNNNNNNNNNNNNNNNNNNNNNNNNNNNNNNNNNNNNNNNNNNNNNNNNNNNNNNNNNNNNNNNNNNNNNNNNNNNNNNNNNNNNNNNNNNNNNNNNNNNNNNNNNNNNNNNNNNNNNNNNNNNNNNNNNNNNNNNNNNNNNNNNNNNNNNNNNNNNNNNNNNNNNNNNNNNNNNNNNNNNNNNNNNNNNNNNNNNNNNNNNNNNNNNNNNNNNNNNNNNNNNNNNNNNNNNNNNNNNNNNNNNNNNNNNNNNNNNNNNNNNNNNNNNNNNNNNNNNNNNNNNNNNNNNNNNNNNNNNNNNNNNNNNNNNNNNNNNNNNNNNNNNNNNNNNNNNNNNNNNNNNNNNNNNNNNNNNNNNNNNNNNNNNNNNNNNNNNNNNNNNNNNNNNNNNNNNNNNNNNNNNNNNNNNNNNNNNNNNNNNNNNNNNNNNNNNNNNNNNNNNNNNNNNNNNNNNNNNNNNNNNNNNNNNNNNNNNNNNNNNNNNNNNNNNNNNNNNNNNNNNNNNNNNNNNNNNNNNNNNNNNNNNNNNNNNNNNNNNNNNNNNNNNNNNNNNNNNNNNNNNNNNNNNNNNNNNNNNNNNNNNNNNNNNNNNNNNNNNNNNNNNNNNNNNNNNNNNNNNNNNNNNNNNNNNNNNNNNNNNNNNNNNNNNNNNNNNNNNNNNNNNNNNNNNNNNNNNNNNNNNNNNNNNNNNNNNNNNNNNNNNNNNNNNNNNNNNNNNNNNNNNNNNNNNNNNNNNNNNNNNNNNNNNNNNNNNNNNNNNNNNNNNNNNNNNNNNNNNNNNNNNNNNNNNNNNNNNNNNNNNNNNNNNNNNNNNNNNNNNNNNNNNNNNNNNNNNNNNNNNNNNNNNNNNNNNNNNNNNNNNNNNNNNNNNNNNNNNNNNNNNNNNNNNNNNNNNNNNNNNNNNNNNNNNNNNNNNNNNNNNNNNNNNNNNNNNNNNNNNNNNNNNNNNNNNNNNNNNNNNNNNNNNNNNNNNNNNNNNNNNNNNNNNNNNNNNNNNNNNNNNNNNNNNNNNNNNNNNNNNNNNNNNNNNNNNNNNNNNNNNNNNNNNNNNNNNNNNNNNNNNNNNNNNNNNNNNNNNNNNNNNNNNNNNNNNNNNNNNNNNNNNNNNNNNNNNNNNNNNNNNNNNNNNNNNNNNNNNNNNNNNNNNNNNNNNNNNNNNNNNNNNNNNNNNNNNNNNNNNNNNNNNNNNNNNNNNNNNNNNNNNNNNNNNNNNNNNNNNNNNNNNNNNNNNNNNNNNNNNNNNNNNNNNNNNNNNNNNNNNNNNNNNNNNNNNNNNNNNNNNNNNNNNNNNNNNNNNNNNNNNNNNNNNNNNNNNNNNNNNNNNNNNNNNNNNNNNNNNNNNNNNNNNNNNNNNNNNNNNNNNNNNNNNNNNNNNNNNNNNNNNNNNNNNNNNNNNNNNNNNNNNNNNNNNNNNNNNNNNNNNNNNNNNNNNNNNNNNNNNNNNNNNNNNNNNNNNNNNNNNNNNNNNNNNNNNNNNNNNNNNNNNNNNNNNNNNNNNNNNNNNNNNNNNNNNNNNNNNNNNNNNNNNNNNNNNNNNNNNNNNNNNNNNNNNNNNNNNNNNNNNNNNNNNNNNNNNNNNNNNNNNNNNNNNNNNNNNNNNNNNNNNNNNNNNNNNNNNNNNNNNNNNNNNNNNNAAUGGCGAAAGUGAGGAGGAAUCAAACGACGACGACAUAGCGGAAGCGUACAAUCAACUUCUCAUUGAAUCAAAGAAGAUGGCUAAACUCAACAAGAAGUUGAGACGUCGUUUGUUGGAACUUGAGGAGGAAAACAACAACGUAAAGAAUUUGAAUAAGGUUCUUGAGGAGGAAAGGGAUUCAAACUUGAAGAUUAAUUCGGACCUCCAAGAAAAGUUUAAUGAAGCGGAAUCAACGAUCAAAUCUUAUAAAGACAAGGUUGGAUUUUUGGAGCAUCAAUUUCAUGAAUCGCACAAGUUCAAUCAAGUCUUGACCGAACAAGUUCGUCAACUCCAAUCAGAUCUUCAACAAUUUUCUUCGGGAUCAAAGAAGUUGGACAAAAUGCUUGGAUUGGGUCAAACGAACAAAUUGGGCCUCGGAUAUGAACGCACAUACGUUGAGAAGGAUUCAAUAUCAACUUCUAAAGUCUCAACAAAUUCGAAAGACAAGGUGUGUCAUAAAUGUGGUAAGAAAGGACACAUUAAAAGGAAUUGCCCAAAGAAGGAAAAGAAGAAUCAAUCGGCAAUGUCUAAACCUCAAACGGCAUCAUCUACAACUCGACUUCCCCUGCGGAAUCAAAAGAAGAAUCAAGUUAGUCGAGUACCUCAAAAGAAUCGGAUUUCUAAUGCACAACGCCAAGUUCAUGCAAACCAGGUGCAUAAAUCUCAACGACAAAUUCAACCUAAGCCUCAACCGAAGAAAACACCAACGGUUGUUCAAAAGUCUAAACAAACGGCACCUAACGUCGACAAGUCGAGAAAACCAACGAUCCGACAAGUUUGGAUCCGGAAAGGUGAUAUCUUUCCUUGCUCCUCGUCUUAGUCAUUUUUGUUCUUUAGUGUAAUGCUUUGAUUGGUGCUUGUUGUUUAAUUUUAUUCAUUACAUUACAUGUUUGAAUGAUUUUUGGUGCAUUGAAUUUUUGUUUAUUUAAAAAUCAUUUUGAGGAAAAGGUGUUUAGGAAUUUCAAAAUCUUUGAGAAAGGAGAUGAUUGAGAAUUUUUUUUGGAGAGGAAGUUUUUAAAGAUUGUUUAAACAGGUUUUAUCUUCACAAUCAUAUUAAGUUAAAUUCAUAUUAAUUAUCGUNNNNNNNNNNNNNNNNNNNNNNNNNGUUUUGUAAGGUUUUCCUCUAGGGUUUGGAUUUUGGUUAAGAGAUUUGGAGCUUUGUGCUCCUUAGAGGUUUUAGAAGCUCUUUUGAGCCAUGAACAACAAGGUACCCAUGAGAGCUCAAGGUGCUCUCAUGGUGAACCCUUGGAAGUUGGGUUAGAAGCCCUAGGGUUGGUUCCAAAAGCUUGGAAACCUUAUUAGAAUGCUUCCUAAGUGAAUCUAAGUUACCAUUUGCUUAGGGUUGAGAUCAAUUCAAGGGGAAACCCUAAAUGACAAUGUUAGGGCUUGGAUUUGGGGCUUUUGCCCUAGGAUUUUUUGGGGACAAAUUGACCCCGUAGAAACCUAAUUGGGGGUGCCCUAAACACGUUGGACAACUCCGUUUAAUAUUACGAAAAUGUUAGAACAAAGUUCAUGUACAAAAAGGCCUAAUAUAGCAUUAUUUUGAUUAUAGGGCGCGGGAUCGGAUUUCAUAAAGUGCGGGAGCUUCCGUAACCUACACCCACACAACUAAUAGAGGGGGGGUGCACGCCGGAAUCGUUGGAUUCCCUUCUAUGUCUGUUUUCUCUAUUCGUGAGCAUAUAUAUAUAUAUAUACACCCAUUCAUGCAUAGUAGGGUAGCUACAUGUGGAACUUGGUUUGACUUCAUUUAUAUGCUUCUAACGUAGUUGAACAUAGAGAAUGAUAGAACCAAAAUGGACAUGUGUGUUUGGACCCUCAAGUUGUGUGAAUGUGAGAAUGGACUUGGACAUUAGAAAACAUGGGUGUCAUUGACAUAGAAACAAGAAUUGCAUUGUGAGAUGAACCGUUGAAUAUAGUUUAACCCAUAUUGACAUUGUCGAAGAUAAAGCCUUGAGAGUGGCAAGAAUGAAUAGGUAGGGACCCAUCGUGAUAUUGGCAUUGUGACUAGUGGCUAUGAGUCCUUAAGUUGAGGAUUAGAUCGAUACUCACAUUUCGUCUUGGCUUGAGGGAGAUCGCUCCCCCUCGAGCGGUGCGCUCCGGAGUUGGUCACCACUGGGUGUGGUAAAGUCCCACCAGUUGACGGUCCCUAGGGAGGUUCGAGUCCCCCGUUAUUAAGGGAUUUUGGGUUGUGAGUUAGUGGGGUUAACAGAGUUAACCGGUAAGAUUGGGUAAGAGCCAAAGCUUGAUUAUGAUUGAAGCAUGCAUGCAUUUCCAUUACCGCAUUGAAAUUGUAUAUCUACUGACUUCUUUCUUGCAGGCAUAGUAUUAGUUGCAUUAGUAAUGGUUUUUUCUUCCUUUGAAAUAGUUAUGCCUGGAUGGACCUAGUGGGUAAGUCGGCGAGGUCGGAUGCCGAGCCCACUGGGAACAUCGUUGUAGUUCUCACACCUCUAACCCUACAGGUCCUAGUACGAGCGGGGCGGCGGAGGACCGAGGCAAGGGUUUGGCGCCGUAGGUAGCGGCCACCGGGACUUUAUGCAUUUUGUAGUCAUUCCCUUUUGUUAUACAUGUAUCAACUUUAUUCUGUUGAUUUAGGUAUGAAAAGUGUAAAUAAUCAUGUAUUUUGAGGAUGACUAAAUGUAAAAGAUAUGAUGGUUGAAUGGAAUGUAGUAGCCUUGUUUACUUGAAUUUGGUUUAAAUGGAAUCAAAUAUCAUGUGUGAUGUAUAUUUAGCUUAGAGCUUUCGCUUCCGUUGUUGCUUGCCCUCGAGCAAGCCUUGUAUUAUAUAUGCAAUUCUCUCGUUUAUUGCCACUUUAUACCUAUUGUUAGAGCCUUGGGCGGACAGGGGAGGCUCUGUCCGUUCGGCGUCUGUUGACGUGACCCGAACCCGACCAAAUUGGCGUGGAUUGGGGCGUGACACUGAGGGAGAGAGGGACUAAUAAGUCCUCUAAUGUAACAAUAUCCAGCUGGCCCCCUCAACUUUUUAUUCUCUGCACAGCCCUCACUGGGCAUUUUGCGCGCGGAGGGACUGGUCUCCCCGAUUUGAGAUCGGUCCCCGAGAGCUUCAGCUCGGGUCACGCGUUCGGGUACCGGUCUCUCCCAGAGAGACCGGUCCUUGGGAGACCGGUUCCUUCCUGAGAGACCGGUUCCCGAGAGUGGGAUUUUAAGGACUUAGCCAAAUUUUUGGCUUUCUCGCUGGGUUCGCAUUCGGGGACCGGUCCCUCCCUGCCAGGGACCGGUUGCCUCAAGCAACCCCGCAACACCCGCUGAUGGGACCGGUCCCUCCCUGCCAGGGAUCGGUUCCCGAGAGUAGUUUUGCUCCAGUGCAGGUUUUGCACCAUUUGCUCUCGUGGACUCGUUUUCAAUGCACUUUUGGUGAUUAUAAUAUCUUUGGCUUUUCCAAAGCUCACCAACACGACCCUUGGUCGUUCUGGAUGAAGUCUAACUCUCGUAUUUCGAGAAUUCACUUCCUCACACUAUCAGACCUCAAAACUCUUUUGUAAAUCCUUUUAUCGAAAAACAGCGAAAAAUGUAUAUUUUUUAAACCAAAGUUAAAGAUGACCCUAUAAGGGUGCGUUUGGUUCGCACUAUGAAAGAUUACUAGUAAUAAAAAGAUGUCCAAGAAUCUUAUUCCUAUUCAUCCUACUACGAAGAAUGUAGCAUUCCUGUGUUUGGUUCGCACUGUUAUAUUAUUUAGUCAUGUUAUUUAAGUUUACAAAAAAUAUACAAUUAAUUUAUUUAUUUCUUCAAUUAAUUUUAUUUUAGAUAAUGCCACCAAAAAUUUCAACAUCUUUUUUAAAAAAAGGGAGAGAGAGAAAAUAGGUUAGAGAGAGAGCAUAAUUAAAUAAAUAGGAAGAGAAAUAGAGUCGAGAUUAGAGGGAGUGCGAGAGUUGAGAUUUUAGAAAAAUAGGGGGAGAGAGUGCUUAGUUUAGAAAGAGAAAAAGAGUUGAAGUUUAGAAAGAAAAAAAUAAGUUUAGAGAGAGAUAUGAGGUUAGAGUGUAAAGAAAAAUAAUACCAACUAGCCGGCGGGUAGGGAGAAAGAAAGAGAUUAGACAUAUUAUGAUUACCCUAAUCCAUUAAUAUGAGGAUACCCACUCUCCCUCAAGGGAAUGAAAUUAGUACUUUAGAAUGAAUCUCAUUCCCAAAUAAAUCUAAUAUUACCAACUAGAUUACUUAGUGUGUUUAGUCAAACACCAUCAUAUUUUUUUAUUCAUAUUGGAUUAGUAGGAAUCUUAAAAAGAUAACGCGAACCAAACGCGCCAUAAACGUGCACAGACUCGCCAUAUGGAUAGUUUUUUCUGUACAAACCGAUAGUCUUUCCUGUACAUGCAUGAUGUAAAAAGCACAACCUCCACCAAUAUAACCAACCACAAUAAGAAUGACAAUAACAACAAGGAUGAAUACAAUAACAACUAUAAUAUCAGAAGAAAACUAAAUACUAAUAACAGAAGAACACUAAAGAAAUAGGUAACAGGAACACAAGGCUUCUGCCGUUUUGAACAGGUUGCUCCAAAAGUCUUUGGUAUCAACAACGUAUGUAGGAUAAGAUGCAAGAUUAGAUGUAGCAACAAGUUUGAAAUUGUACUUUCCUAUUUUUGGUCGAUCAGCUUUUUAACCUUUGCAAUUGGAAAAGUCACAGAAUACGAGAAUCAACAUUUUGAUGUUCUAACACUUGCUUCAAUCUAUCAGGUUAAAAUCUGCACCUCUUCUCUUUCACAAAUAAUUUUUAUAAAAUUAUAAAUCAGUUUCAUUAUAUAUAUUUUUUUAUUUGAAAAUGCUAAUUGUUAUGAUCUGAGUUAAUUCUGACGAUUUGCCAUAAUUUUAUAGGUGCAAGUAACAUGAUUGUUUAUAGUUGAACUUGCACCAUAGGAAAAACUAUCUAACCUAAAGUCCUUGUCCUAAGUCCUUUAUACGCUACGUGACUCUGGAUUUAAUAGAAAAUGUUGGUGUAAAUAUUCAAAAAAUAGAGGUUAGCUACAAAAUAAUUUAAAAAAUAUCAACGAGUCGAUCAAGCCGAGGCACGGAUAUCUCGCUCUCUUUAAGGAGAUUCAAGCCCUCUGCGGUUGGCAAAGCCUUUGAACCGAUGCAGCAGAGCACCGACUUGUCCCCUCCAGGAUACAACGGCUCGACCCUCGUCGUGUGGCUUCACCAACUCUGCACAAGUAGAUGAGCCCAAAGCUCCACCAAAAGAACACCUUUCUUUGACCUUCUCUCUCUCACAAGUAUAAUAGAAAUAGCUUUAGUAGUAUAUUGAGUUGUGUAUAAAAAUAGAAAAAAAAAGCACUCUAUAUAUAGGCUCUAAAAGGUAUAGGAGUUACGAGAAAAUAAAAAGCCAUAGGUUACAUAGCAUUUAAUAGAGUUCAUUAUACAUACGUUGCAAUCCUAACGAAAGCAUAGAUUAAGUGUUUAGCAGUAUACAACACUAAAUGUGAUAAAGUAAACUGCAUUCCUCAAGUGGUAACUGCAAGAGCAUAAGUUAUCAAAAGGAUAUUCAAAUCAUAUAAAUAAUAAAAAUGUAACAACAGAAAAUAAUAAUAAUAAUAAUAACUAUUUCUGAACUAACCCCACUUUUUUUUGGGUAAAAAAACAAAAUCCCAAAUCAAAUUGAGUUGAAACAAUUGAACUGCAAAUAGAUUCCAUUGUCCUGUGAUUUUGAUUACCAAAUAACAGUUUAGGUGAAACGAUUUAUUGUGUACUACAAUGGAUAGUGCAUUAUCCUACCCACCAACAUCUGCGGGCAGUAGUAAUCAGCAGAGAGAAGUAUAAAUGUGUAAGACAGCAGAGCAACAAAAUCUUUGCAGGCUAAGCAGCAUGCCUGCUCCUGGGCACCAGACGAGCCCUGAGGGGAUUCUUCAUAACGAUGGUGAAUUCGGGCUUCUCUGCCAAGUCGACUUCCUCCCCCUCCGCUGCCGGCAGCCACUCGAACUCCCUGACAAGAUGCGCCACGAAGCACUCGAGGUGCAGCAGGGCGAGACCGAGUCCUGGGCACAUCCUCCUCCCCGCCCCAAACGGCAUCAUCUUGAUCACCCCCUUGCAGACCCCUGCGGCAUCUACCCCCUCGCCGUCACCUCCCUCCAUGAACCGCUCCGGCCGGAACUCCAUCGGCGCCUCCCACACCCUCCCAUCCCGCCCCAUCUCCGCCACCAGGAAGUUCACUGCCGCCUCCUUCGGAAUUCGGUACCCUGUGAUCUCCGUCUCCUCCGUCACUGCAUGCGGCAGCACGAAGUGCCCCGGCGGGUGCCGCCGCAGCCCUUCGAGCACCACCGCCUUCAGGUACGGCAUCUUUUGCAAGUCCUCUUCUCUUAUGGCAUCCUCCUCCUCCGCAUUCCCCGCCGCCACGCGGUCGAUCUCCUCCGCAAGUUUCCUCUGCACGUCCUGGUGCUUCACCAGGUUGGCCAUGAUCCACUGCAGCGCCGUCGACGUCGUGUCCGUGCCGGCGUUCAGGAACUCCGAGCACAGCGCCACCAUCUCCUCCUCGCUCAGCUUUCUCCCACCUUCCUCCGGGAUCUCCAUGUCCAGCAGGGAGUCGACGUACGAGUACACGAAUCGCUCCUCGUCUUCUUGAACCUGGUCGCCGUUCUGCCGCCGCCGCUGCUGCUGCUGCUUUUUCCUCUUGAAUUCUUCCCGGGCACGGAUCAACGGGACGAACAGCUCGCGCUGUCUCGCCCUCAACGCUGUUGCGGUCUUCAACCUGUUUCGGAAGAUGUGCUUGGUAAUCUGCGGAAGGAUGCCGAGGACGUUGAGGUUGCUGACGACGUAGAGGAGGAAGCUGCGCUGGGCGAUCUCGAUCUGCUUUAUCGACUCGUGAUCUAAUUUUUCGCCGAAGCACAUCAGCACCAGCAGAGCGAACAUGGCGAACUGGAAGCUGGGCAUGACGGCGACGGGGCCGCCGUCGGAGGAACGGGACUGCGAGCGGAGGUCGUCGGCGAGGAGACGGAGGACCCAGCGGCGGCCGGGGGCGUAGAGCCUGAGGCGGGAGGGGUGGAGGAUCUCGGCGACGAGGUUGCGGCGGAGGAGGCGNUUUCGUGGGUCGAGUCGGAGUCGUGAAGAAGUUCGGAGCGAAGUAUUGAAGAUCGAAGAAUCCAAGACUUCGAAGAAUCGGAAAGGACGCAAAACAUGCAAAACUUGAAUCACGAUGCGUAGGUAAGUUUUAAAUCUUGUUUAUGGUGAUUCAUACUUAUUUAUAGAUCUUAGAAUCAUAUUUUCAAGUUGUAAUUGAUUAGAAAGUUUCUAAGAGUUUGUAAAACCCGAAACAAUGCAUUUUCAGCGAAAAUUGCAUUGCUGUACCGGUACAAGGAUUUUCUGUCCAGGGUACAGCCAUCAACGUUCCGCAGAAAGUUUGAUGGUUGUUCCGGUACAAGCUUCAUGCUGUACCGGUACAAGCCCUGUUCCGGAACAAGCUAAAGCUAUCCAGGGUACAGGAGCUUCGCAGAAAAAUCUUCCGUAAUGGUGUACCCUGGACAACAUUCCUUGUUCCGGUAUAAGGUGCUGAUUUUAGAAAGAAACUUUCUAAUCCUACUCUGUUUUGAUUCUAAAGUCUAUAAAUAAGCUAUAGGGGUUCUCUAACGAAUUAAGCAUCAUAAGAAUACAUAUUUGAGAAACCCUAGAGGCUCGGAUUUCAUCAAAAACCUAUUUUCUACAAAAAGCCUCUUUUAGAUCAAAUCGAGAUAUUGAAAUUUGAUAUUAAUAUGUCGAUUUGAUCUCCGCUUCGCUUGGAGUUCUAUUCCCUGGUUUUCUACGAUACUCCAAAGCGAAGGAUCACCAUAUUCAUGAUAUUCUUCAUGGUGGCGUCGUGGAUUCGGCGUAUUUGACGGCGGUUCGUGGAUUCGGAACAUGGGCUCGUGGAUUCGAGUGGCGUCGUGGAUUCGGCGUGAUUGAAGCUUCGUGGAUUCGAAGUGGAGGCGUUUGUGGAUUCGGACGUGAGGGCGUGGACAACCCGGAGGGUAGCGCGAAGAUUCAUAGGAGGUUAAGAGAGGUUAAGUCCGUGGAGUCGGUAAUCACCUUGUAAUAUUUUUUCUUAGUGAAUUAUUUUUUCGCAUGUUGGUCCCGUGGGUUUUUCUCCAAAUUGGAGUUUUCUCACGUAAAUCUCGAUGUGUUUUUUAUUUUCCGCAUUUAUUUUUAUUGCAUCGAGAUUUGUGGUUUUUGGCCGUUACACCUAUUCACCCCCCUCUAGGUGAUAGAUACAAUCUAGAUAGAUUCUUGGGUUCCUCGAAACUUUCAAACUUGAUGGUUGUACCGGUACACAUUGCCCAGACUUGGUUUUUGGCUCCGUUUCGAUUCUAUUUCGCGCCGAUCGAUACCAAAACUCUUCUAACACUUCCAGAACUCAUUUUUAAUCCUUCCAAUCUUGUUGGAAUGCUAAAUGGAACUUGCCCAACUAUUUCUUUCGCAUUUUUUACUUUUAAAUCGCGCCGAGUGAUGCUAAAACUUGUAACGUUGUUGGAAUGUUAACUGAACUUUGUUCAUCCAUUUCUCUCGUCACUUUAACCAAUUUGGCUAAAGUUCGAUAAUCGCUAUCGAGGUUUCGAUACGUUACAAUAUUGUUUUAACAACAGAUCUUUUUGUAUUGAACUAGAUGAAAAAUGCAGGACUCCUUACUCUAGUUAAAUUACACCACUUAGUUAGCACCAAAAACAAUGUAAUAAUAUAGGAGAUGAGAGUAAUAGGAAGAACUAGAAAUGCUAAACAAAUUGAUAUAUCCUUCUACUUCCAAGUAAAGGCAUGCAAAUAUAAUGCUAAAACAUGCUACCAUAUUCCAUAGUUCCAAUCUUCAUGUAAUGCACAGAACAGAUUAUAACAAAUGCACACUUCUAAAGAAAAUUAAUUAUCACAAUCAAUUAAUCUAGCCUAAAACAUGCCAAUUUUAGCAUUCCUAAAUUAAGCGGAAAAAGCUUCUCGAACAGGGCAUUAGAUCUAAACAAUUUUCUCGCACAAGAUCCUACCUUUCUCCCAAAUCUUAUCACAUCUGGAAUAGGCUUAGUGGUAUAUUCUUAACCCUAGACUUGUGAAGGAGGAAUUUAUCAAGUUGGGUAUACGCCCUGGGAGGUAAGCACUGUCAAGCAUAAGCAAAAACGAACAAUAUUUGUUAAGGUAUCAUGCACUCAAGAUCCUCACUUGGCGUAAAUUCUAAAUUCUAAUUAUGAAUUAUAUGAAAUUUAUAUUGUUUUUUAUACUAAUUUAUGUGUUGGUGCUGCUAUGAUUUCCGUUUCACCAUUGUUGCCUGUUCUUUUUUGUCAAUCGAUGCCAACAUUUAAUUUGACUAAUUCAUUUUAACUAACUUUUAUAUUCGAUCCCCAAUCUUGAUAGUUACAUUGUUUUCAACUUGCAGGUUACUGAAGAUUUAGUGGGAUAUAAUAUGGCCUCCAUUGGCUUCUUUAAGUUAUACUUUCAUUCUUAAUUUGCUUGUUAGUCACAAGAUGCGAACAUACACAAAAGAUGAUUAAAGGUUGAUAAUUUAAAUUUUUGCUUUUGGUUUCUUAUGUUUACCAACUACUUUGCUUUUGGUUUCUGGUUUUUAUACUCUUUCUUAUGCAGGGAGUAAACAAAGUAUUUCCAUUUGUUUCAAGUGAUGAUCGAGGCUGAUGAUAUUAUAGAGGUUCAAACACUAGUUCUUUUUCUAUUGGUGAACUUAAGUUCCAUCUAUGAAUGAUUUUGAAGUUUAUAUUUGUAACAUACUGAAACUUCGGUAGAAUAUUGGACUCUAGCCAAAUUGGCCAAAGAGCCCGAGAGAAAUGGUUGGACGAAGUCUAUUUACCAUUCCAACAGUGUUGGAAGGGUUAGAAAUGAGUUCCAAAGGAUUUAGAAAGGUUUUGGCAUUGAUCGGCGCGAAAUAGAAUCGAAACGGAGCCAAAAACCAAUCUCGGCAUAGUGUAUCGGUACAACCAUCGAGUUGUAACCGGUACAGAUAAGUGUACCGGUACAAAGUGAAAGUGUAUCGGUACAAAUGUCGCAAACCCGAGGGAGCUGCUCUCGGGUUUGGUCAUACGCGAUCAUGUUACCGGUUACACGAUGAAGUGUACCGGUACACUUUCGGCUGACAGCAGGAAAUAGGUCUGCUGCAAAUAUAAGUUGUUGGGGGCUUAUUUGCAAAUGUUGCACACUAUAUAUGCAACCAAACCUCUUCUCCUUCACAGUAGCCCUCUCCUCUCCCAUUUUCUCUCCCUCUCUCUCUCUCUAGAAGUUUUGCACCAAGGCAAAGGAGAAGGAGAAGAAGGCUUGGAGAUGGCAUUUUGAGGGUUUCGAAGGAUUAAGAAGCUCUCCUUCAUGGUGGUCUUGGAAGAGCUUGGGCUAAGGUGAGUUAUUUUGGAAGAAUACAUCUAGGGUUUAGAUCUCUACCCUAAGAUUUAGAGUUUUGAUCUUCUUGCAAGCUUUAGAACCUUGUAGAAACUUGGAAACACAUGAAAACCAUGUGUUCUUCGAGGUGCUCUAAUGGUAGAUUUCUAGGGUUUGUUCUAAACACCCUAGGAAUGGUUCGAAUGGUUCUAAAUGAGUUCUUAAAUGUUGAACAAGCUCUCUUUUACUUGUUCUAGAGAUCAAAACUAAGAAGUGGGAUUAUGGCAUUGUUAGGGCACCAAAUUUGAAAAUUUUGCCUCCGGGUGUUUUCGAGAUAAAUUGACCUCUUGAAAACCUAAUUGGGGGUAUUUCCGACGCGUUGGUGUGCUCAGUUCGUUGAAAUGAAAAGACUAGAUAAUAUUUCUUGGUUAAAAGUCUAAUUUGGCUCUAAUUUGGUACAAAUCAACGGAACUCCCGAAAUAGGAGUCCAAAAAUAACGAGAACGGAUCCAGAGUAUCGUGGCAUCAAGUUAUUGAUCGAACAACUUCCGGAUUUUGGAUUGGUGGCCGUUGGUGGUCGAGUACGAGUUCGGCCGCACCGGACAACGAGUGCCGCGAGAGGCCGAUUAGAAGUGAUUACGAGCAAUCGGAGUGCGAAUCGAGGUGGGUUGUGCUCACCGAAGCGACUAGGUCGCCUCUAUGCCUAAGAGAAAAGUGGUUUCAUGUUGAUGCAUGUAAAUGUUAGAAGAAGCAUGUGGUAAUACUAAAAGAAUGCAUGUGAGCACAUUGUAAGAAUGCAUGUUAAUGACAUAAUGUAAAAUGUUAAUUGGAUGCAUAUGAUGUAAUAUAGAAAUACUAUAAUGCAUGAUGAUAUAAUAUGAAUGAUGCUAGUUAAAAGUAUAAGGUAAAUGGCAUUUGCAUGUUAAGAUAAAGUAGAGAAUAUGCUGGUUGUAAUGCGUAAUGACAAGUUGCAAAGAAUGCUAGUUUGGAUAAGCAUGUUAUGUAAAUGCUAGAUAAUUGCAUGAAGGCAUGGUUAGUAUUGUGAGGACUAUGGAAUACUCGAAUUGGACAACUAGGAUGUGAAUUAGAUCGAGUGGCAUUGGACCUAGUGUUAGUAAACAUAGGUUGGAUAAGAAUGACACAUGAACCUAGUGUUGUUAAACAUAGGUGGGCAUCGAACUUAGUAUUAAAGAACAUAGGUUGAGAAUGAACCUAGAGUUAACUAAAUCUAGGUGUGUGGCAUUAACCUAGUGUCGAGAACAUAGGUUGAGAGUUGAGCCUAGAGUUAAAGUAAACCUAGGUUAUGUGAUUGAGGCAUUAAACCUAGAGUCAGCUGGACCUAGGGUGGAGAGUGCAUUUGUAAUACACUGAACUUUUGCAAAUUGCGGAGUUCGAGUGUGUGGCAUGAGAUGUGGAACUAUCCUACAUAUUCUAAAAGGUUUGGACAAGUUUUUGAAUAAGUUAGAGGAUGAUUGGAAAGCUAGAAGUGAGAAAGUGCAUUGCAAUUUCGAAAUCAGCAUUUUCUACAUUGUGUACCGGUACAGCCAUUACCCUGUACCGGUACAGCAAGCAGCAGAGUCAGCUGCUGCGGGACAGCAGGGUUAUCUUGGUCUUUUCACCUCUUGUUCUUAUCUAUUUCAGUCCAGCAUGACCAGGGAUGUUUGCUGGAGUGUGCUAGAGCUCAGAGGAGCUGCCCUGCACCUUUCUCUCUCUCUCUCUCUAGGAUUUUUCUCCCUCUACGAAGGAGUCGCCGUUUUGCGCCGAUUUGGCGCCGCGCUCGAUUCUCGCUGGUUGGAGGACUCGAGGGAGGUCUUUGGAACGUGGGAAAGAAGGGUCUUAUCAUAUUUCCUGUGAGGUUACUUCCAGGGAAGCUGAUUCUCAGCUUUAGAGAGGUAACUAACUUGCUUUCUCUCGAAUUUACGGUUUAGUAUCGAAUUUUGACGCAGUUUAGUUCUGUUGCUUCCAACUGAAGUAGAAGAGGUUUUCAGCAGUAAAGAGGAGUCAUGUUGGCUGCUCAAUUGUCCAUUUAACCUCAGAGAAACUUUGCUUUAAAGCUUAAUAUGGAUAAUUAGUGAAUUAUAACUCAAUUUUGGACUAUAUGAAGUUUAAGCGAGUAAUUGAUGCAGUUUGGAAAUUGUUCCUUCGCAGCAGGUUUUCGAACCAUUUUGAGCUAAUUUGGUGACCUGGGGAUCUGGUUAGGAAGGUAUUCUAACCAAGGGUAAGCUGGAAUUUCAGCUAGAAACCCAUUUUCGCAAGAAUUCGACUAUAAAAGCUUGUAUACAAGCAUUCUAAUGCCGUUUUGAUGUUGUUUGCAGCAAGAGCGCGAUCGAGCCUUAGAUCAUCUUCUGUUAGCAUUGGAGAGCAAUUGAGGCUUAAUUUGAGGUACUAAUGUGACCCGAAACAGGGAUUUAAGCUAUUACCUUGUAUUAAGUGCGAAUUGUACCGAAAUUGGACAUUUCGGUUGUAGUAGUGAUACGACUUUCGUACCUUAUUAUAGCAGGAUUGAGGCUUCGUGGAGCUUGAAUUCGAGACCUCUUGUGGACUGAUUGGAGCCUAGUAAUAGGUGGGUUUGACCUAACCAGAGCAAGUGAAGCACCCCUAUGUUCUAUAUGUUACUAUAGAAUUGAUACAUAGGUACAUGUUAUAAUUAUAUGAUUGAUAAGGACUCGAAACUUGUCACCGUAACAUUUGAUACUUGGGACUGAAAGCUCUAUAAAGUAGAGAACACUUGUGCAUAAAAGCAUUCAUGUUCAUGCUUGUGACUAUGUUGAUAGUAGCAUGAUAGUGGAAAGAUUCUAAUGCCAUAUGUAAAUNAUGACUUAUGAACAAGUGUAAGAUACACGUAUAAAAACACUGACAUUGACUCUAAAGUAGAGAACCAUGACAUGUUUUCGGACUAUGUUGGUAGCACCAUGAUAGUGAAAAGAUUCUAAUGUCAGGUGUCACGCCCCGGGACCCGGCAAAGGCCCUGCCCGGUGCGUGCCCAGACCCGCCAUAUGCCUGCACAUAUAAGGCGUCUACAACAAAGUGAUAUGAAAGAUAAAAUAAACAAUAACUAACGAUAUCAGAGCAAGCAUGCAGCUAAGUUCUAUCAACAAGCGGAAAUAGAAAGGAAAGAGAAAGAGACUAAACCACUAGAACAUAAAGAAACUAAUACAUCAUAAGUCUCCAGAUACAAAAGUAGGGUGGUCUCUAUAACAAGGUACAAAACUCUCACAACCUCUCCAACGCAAAACAAAAGAGAGGUAGACCACCUAACGCCAAAUCCCUCGGUAGCUAGCUCGAGGCGAAACCUUUCCCGCGAUCCCGAGCCCCUCCCGAAGUGGAAGGCUCUGAAAGAAAACAUAAAACAGGGGGCAUGAGAACUAUAAUUUAUAGUUCCCAGUGGGCAAUUACUGACCUGCACCAACUGCACCACUAGGCCCAAAAGAGAGCAGAUAAAGUUAAUAGAAUUUAACUGCGGUAAAUGAAGCAUAAUAAUAAGAUGCUACUCUACUAUGCCAUAAGUAUGUAGAAUGUCAACAUGAAGUACAUCUACUCUACAUGAACCAGUAUGCCAGUACUUAAACAAAUAUGCUAUGAUGCAACGUGUAAUACUAUGAAGUUUGAUAUAUGUCUCAAAGCCAACUACAUAUCUAGUAUGUACUAUCCUGGCAACCAAGUACACUACGAUGCCAUCAGCGAUACCGUCAAGUAUCCUAUGAAUCUCAAUGUCCGACCCUAUGCCGUAGCAUGUUAAGGAAUCCAACUACUAUGACCUGUCUAGUAGUGAUUAUCAACUUGUUGUUUAAUAUUUUGGUUCAAUCUCAUUCAGGAUCUACACGGGUGUAGUCCGGCUUGUGCCGCCUAAGUGCCUGUGGUAGCCCAACAUUCCUGCCCUUGGAAUGUGUCUGUCCCACUCGACCCCGUAGGCUUCUCAGUACCGCACGAGCGAGCAUAUGUCGCGUAGGCUAACUCCGGAGUGCCGGCUUGUAGGGAGCGACCCGUACAAGCAUGUGCGAAUGAGCACAAAUGGCAAGCAAGCAUGGUCAAAACCUCAAGUACCCAAUCAUCAUGUCUCUAACAUGGUAACAGUCACUAGCAACCCAAAGGUCUAGUACUAUGUCUCAAUGUGAAGGUUAAACCGUUCAAUAAUUUCGAUGUCAAUGACCCUAGCUUUACUAAGUCCAAAUCUCAAGGUGAAGUUCCCACAUUCACUAUGUUUAGUGCCUCUUUAUGACAUUUAAACAUUGCUAUAAUCUAAGCACAUUUCACCUUCUAAGUCUCUUUAUGACGUUAACUUAUUCUAUCAAUAAUAGAUUAAUACACAUGCUCUCUAGUGUGUUCUUAUAUUGCCACAUGUAUGUUCUCUCCAAUGCAACUAUCCACUUGGCAUAAUUUCUCAUAAUAAUAACAUGCAAAUGCAAUUUACAUAUCCAUCAAGUCUAAUGCCGCUUUAUGACAUUAGCUUGCUAAGUCCAUCUCUAGUCCAAGCCUAAUGCCGCUUUAUGACAUUAGCUUACCAUUUGUAUACACUCUAACCUAUGUCACUUAAGGUCGAUAUGACCAACCAUGUCAAGUAUGCGUUCUAAGCCCAAGAGUGUAAUCUAUGUGCCAUAAGCACCAUAUGCAACAUGAUCUUAAUCAAAUGUAAGAAUGCUAACCAUAGGCCCCUAGCCCAACAUGAAAACUCUCUACCAUAUAGAGGUCAAAUAUGCAUUGUAUAUAACAUGUGCAUUUUAAGCAUUCUAAAAUUCACAAAUAAUGCAUCGAACAUGAAUAUGCAUGCUUUUUCAUUUUACAAUACUUAAAUCAUCAACAAUGAGAUUUUCUCAUUAUGUGGCUAGGUCAAACCCACCGACGACAACGGAACCCUUCGAUUGUUCCGAUGAGGGUGUCCACCACUCUCCUAGUACCCUAAAGGUAAGGAAACAAGUGUCACAAGAACCCUACAAACAACACAUAGCUCAAACAUUAAGCUUUUCAAGCUAAGGUGGGAAAAACUCACCGAAAAUGGUGAAUAUCUCUCUUGAUCUCCAAAAGGAGGCAAGAAUCCUUCAAAACCAACCUAAAAGAUGGUUCAAAUAAGAUCAAUCAAGAUCAAAAAGCCUCAACUCGAAAAUCCCCAUUUCUAACCCUAAAAUUCAAAAUCUAGGGUUUCCUCUAACCAAAAUCAACAAAACAUGUAUCAAAUGAAAAAUACAUGUUACUAACCUCUUAAAUAGCCUCAAACCAAGUCCAAAAUCAGCUAGGGUUGGAGGUCUCCUCACAAACAAGCUCCUCUCAAAGCUCCAAGUCUUCAAUCAUGGAGAAAACCCAAUAAAAGCAAAGAAGAGGAGAAGGGAGAGAUCAAAACACCAUAAAAUCCACCAAAAAUAGGGAUCAAACAAGGGAAGGGGAGACUCACCUUGAUCUCCACUGGUUAGGGCUCAAAGAGAGCAGCUAAGGGGGCUGGGGUCACCUAUAUAGGUGUUGUAACAAUUGCAAAUACAUCCCUCCCCGAAACAGCCCGAACUGCACUGCGUACCGGUACACGGGUUUGUGUACCGGUACACAUCCCACGAACCAGCCCAACCCGAGCCUCGGGUUGGCGCUCUGGCUGCCAGGGUCGAUGGCUGUACCGGUACAGCCAUCACCGCGUACCGGUACGCCACCCCGAAAUUUGCAACCCGAGAGCAGCCUAAGUCCUCCACUUUGGCGACCUUAGUGCUACUUGAAAUACCACAAUUCUCGGGAUACGAGCCAUAGGUCUGAACACUGUCUACGACCCACCAGAAAAUCUGGAAAAACUCAUAACACCAGCCAUACACUCGAACCUCGCAGUUUGCAAAGGUCCAGUGCGUUACAUCAGGUGUAAAUUAGCAUUACUCUUGCAUGCUUACUAAACUAGUGGAUUCUAGUUGUGGUUACUAUUUGUUAUAUUGAAAUGCCGAUCGAGGAUCGAGACUGAGAACAUUGCAAAUGAAAAUAUGAUAAUUGAGACAUGUGGAUAGUGGAAUAUGCUUGUUUGCCAUUGUGCUCAUUCACACACGCUUGUGAGGGUCGCUCCCUACAAGCCGGCACUCCGGAGUUGGCCUACGCGACAGUUGCUCGCCCGUGCGGGAUUGGGUGCCGAAGUGGAUUGCCGUGGGGAGUGUAUACUACCACGGGGCCAUUAGGCGCGGCGCAAGCCGGACUACCUUGAGUAGGUCCUUAUGGACGAAAUGAAAGUACUACAUGACAUUUGACAGUAAUGAAUGCUUACCUGUUACAGUAGAUAUUUGCAUAUUCGUGCUUAUGUUCAUGUUAUAUUCAUUACUACAGAGAUUAUGAUUCCAUGUUAAUUACAUGUUCUUCACCUGUUAGCAUUGCAUAUAUAUAUAUAUUAUGCAAUUAUUGCUUUUACUUUCAUUUAGUACAUCAUGAGCCUAGUGGUAUAAUUCGCCGAGGCUGGCUGUUUACCCACUGGGAACUAUUGUUUAUAGUUCUCACGCCCUUUUUAUUGUUAUUUUUACAGAGCCAUCUACAGGAGAGGCUAGGGAUCGUGGCAAGGGAGUCGCGUCUAGCUAGACAUUGCUAGGAGCAUGCUAGUCGAUCACCUUGCUACUCGGGCUACAGCCGAGGGUGAUGUCCUUAUGUAUAGAGAGACUGCCAUUGUAUCUACUUUUGUAGACCCGUGAUGUAUGUGUACUAUUGGGACCUGACUCUAUAGUGGUGAUACUUUUCUUUUAGUUGAGAUUUUGGAUUUUAUACUCCCUGUUCUCUUGUUGUGAGUAUUGUGGACUGUACUUUGCUCUGAUAUCAGGAUAGGAUUAUCUUACCUUUUUACUCCUAUCGACUUGUUUCUUGUAGACGCGACUUAUAUCACCUGCACCGUAAUGGCCGGUCUGUGAACUUAAACUCGGAUUAUGGCUUCCCUGUACGGGCUUUGACAGCAUUGGCCUGUAGUUAACGGUUCUGAUAAUACUUCAGUGGUUUUGAGACGCAAACCCUUGAGUUAACUGUAAGUGAUUCCGGAAUCCAAGCCUACCCGAGUGCAGCGGGCUUGCUAAGUGUAGCAUUUGAGCUAGACAAAGUUCUUGGGCCUGUGGGUGCAUGUGGCAUGUUCCUCUCCCACGCGGGACAGAGACUUCGAGGGCUUGUGAUCUGAGGGCAACGAAGCCAGUGACGGCUACGGUGUAUUGGGCAUGUUCCUCUCCGCCCUACGGGGAUCUCACUGGGCGGGUGUCAUUGCGGCAAUGUCGCUCUCCCACCGGGGGAAUCGCCUUGACCACCGGUGUACGCGCUAACUUUUGGGCGAACCGUUUGCGCGAUGUGGUUCUUGAAAGCCGUAGUUGGAGGUCGGCAUUGUCGAAAGUUCCUUCACCCUCCGAGCAGUGCCGAACAUGAGUGCGGAAUUAUCCCUGUGAUUGACUCAAGACAGAGUCGGGUGGGUAGAGGUGACUUACGUAUGAGUAAGCCUUAAGAAGAAUGGGCAAGUAAAGGAGUUAAGGCUAGCUAAGAAGCAUAAAUACGGCUAAAGACAUAAGGAACNNNNNNNNNNNNNNNNNNNNNNNNNNNNNNNNNNNNNNNNNNNNNNNNNNNNNNNNNNNNNNNNNNNNNNNNNNNNNNNNNNNNNNNNNNNNNNNNNNNNUAACAUACCGUUUCCCCAAUAAGUUGUUCCGAGCUUCCGUCGAAACGAACGAAAUGCGGAUUCGGACGAGUUGGAGAGGUCCGCAAAGUGUUUUAAACGUUCCAGAAUGAAUUAGAGAGGUGUGUGGACCUUGGAGAGCUGCUGGACGAAAUUCUAAAAUUUUCGAAGUUUUGGUGCUCUCGGGGUCCGGACCCUCUGCAGGGUGUGGACCCUAUAGGCGAGAACUGCCCGGUACAGGCUGCCCUGUUUUGAGAAAAAGAGAGGGGCUAAUGUGCAAAUGUGCAUGUGUGUGAGUGUUUAUAAGUGUGGUUAGGGUUGUUAGCCCUCACUUCUCUCACUUCAACCCAACAUGAGAGCUCUCUUUCUCUCUCUAGAUUUCUCUCUCUCUUUCCUUGGGAUGACUCCAAUGGUGGAGACUGGUGGAGAAGAGCUUGCUAGGUGGUGAAGAAACCCUCUCAUGGCAACCUUGCUUGGAGGAAAGCUUCGAUUUGAGAUAAGUAUCCUAAAUUUUGAGGGUUUUGUGGUUAGGGUUUGGUAUUUCCUUCUAGCAUAUGCUUCUAGAGGAUUAUAUGGUGGAUUUCAGCAUGCUUCUGUCACGCCCCGGGAUCCCUUUUUAUUUGAACACAGCGGAAAAAGCGUCUAAAUUUUUUUUUUUUUGAAAACCUGACCCCAGAGUAUGCCAGAUCCGCCACAAAUACAGGGAUUCCACUGUUCACACGGACAGAGUCUUCCCUGUAUUUGCACGGCGUCGCACAAGUACAACAGUACAAACAGGAUACAACCACAACUAAAUGAAUAUAGAAAUAAUUAUUCAUUCAUACAUUCAUACAUUCACCAUUCACAUCACAGAUUUGCAUUUAAUAUUUAAACAUAAAUCCACAGAAAAUUCUUUUGAAAACUGUUUCCUAUACAGAAACCUUUAUCCUUUAAAAGCACUACCACGAGGGGUAGAAAACCUUUCCAUUUCACAAAAUUCACAAAUCCAUUUAUUACAUUCAUGAAAACCCAUAUUUUCAAAUGUAAUAAAAUAUACUGAACCAUAUAAACUAUCUAAGCUAUAUCAACAUAAUAGUAANNNNNNNNNNNNNNNNNNNNNNNNNUGCCAAUAAACGUCUCUUUGACCAAAUGCUGUUGGACUAGAAAAUACAUUCCAUAACAUCAUUAAAACAAGAUCUGGUCAUUCUUCCGCACUCUUAUUACAGUACUAGAGCGCACGACUGUCACCAGGUCUGGCACUGCUGAGCGUAAGUCAAACAAGACAAAUAUUUCUCAAAGCAUACGAACGUUACUUUCGAGCUCUCACCCAAGACAUGGGUAACGAGAAAGCAUUAAUGACACACUUAGUGACAUUAACACCCUUGACAAAGCGAAAGAUAGAUAAACUUUGAAAGUGCUCAGCUCAAAUGUUACGCAUCCCAGAGGAGUACCCAAAUAUCUGACCUGUCUUUGCAAUUUUAAUCUUCCACUAACCUUUGCAAAGUCAGUGCUCGCCUCCAAUCAGGUGCAAAUCUACAAUACCAUUGAGCAGCGAUUAAAUGAAAUGUAAAGUGAACAUCGAAGCCUGUAUAUCCUACCCUAUCAAGAUUUCAGCUCGUGUAAUUUAUCGAACCAUAAGCAUCACAAAAUGAUUUCACAUUAAGGCGACAAUUGAAUCUCAGGAAAUAAAAUCUGUGCUUGAUUUGUGCAAUAAUAUUAGAUUAGCUAGAUCAUGUCACGUAUAUCCCUGUCAAUCUGCAACAAUACAGAAUAUCUCUUGCGUAAUAAAUGCAGUCCAGAUCUCUAUCGAAUAACCUCUCCAUAGCACUAUGGUCGUACUGGCAGGUGAUUCAUCGAAAGUCUGCUCAUGGCAUCAUGAGGCAAAUGCAGUACCGUGAGGCUCAAACGAGCAGCACAAGAAGCGGCAAUUCACUAGGUGAAGACAGAUUCCUCUGACAACUAGUGAACAAACUGUCGUACAACACAUAUUUCGCGACAAAGGAUCGCAAGGUAAUGGUAGAAAUCUAAACUUUUGUGAGAAUACGUGUACGUAUACCAACCUUUGCAAAUUGAUAGAACAACUCAUAUUGAUACUAUUCUAGCAUACACAUAGGAAAGAUACAUCAAUCAAGAUCCCAAAUAAAUGAUCAUAUUAGCCUGUAUCGUCGGCCAAUAAAGCUACAAAUGCUAUUGCCCUCUGGCAAAGCGAGAUACAAUAACAAGCGAAUAAGACCAAUACAAGUGGCAGUUAAGAGGACGUAUCCAACAUUUUAUGCCUGCAGCAUCUUCUAAUCUAGGAAUCAGAUCCUCACACGUGCUGGCGCCGUGCCAUGAGUGUCUAUGCUCUUGAGUGAUGUGAACACGCCCGAGUCGUGUGAGAUUUCCAGCCUGAACCAGUUCGAGACGACAAUGUUAAUCUUGCUCUCUGUACCCCCAAAAAGAUAACUUAAAACAUGUCAUCUCACUAUUGCUUGAGGAAAUGACUAGUUAAGCAUUUUGUUCGCAAACUCUAGACUGAGCUGCACGACCAUAUAGAACAACUCGUCCAGUGCAUGUAAUCGUUUCUUCUCCACUACAAACCAUCACGCCACGUCUAUGGAUAUCAACUCUCCGUGCUCUAGGGGUGCUCAAUACGUGAGGACAAAUAGGUGAUGAAGGGUCUGUCGUCACCUCAGUCAGGGCAACCAACUGUGCACGUCAGCAUCAGGGGAUGCGCAUGCCUAGGUCGCGACACCGUCGCUCCAACAACAGGGGUGCACCUCGCCUCCGGUCUGUCGGGCCUGCUCUCCAUGUCGAGGUACUCUGCUCACAUCUGCUCAGGUCUCUCAGGGGCAUCCCGCACGAUCCCCGCGCCAACUGGGCACCUCUCGCACGACGGUCGACCUCGGCGAUGAUACAUAGCUGAAAGAACAAAUCGGGGUCAGAUACAACCGCACACUACUCCGACCCAAUCAACGAAAGUCUAUGAAGGUGGUCCCUGUUUCCUCCAAAAUACGUCGUCUGCAGGCAAAUAAUUUCUCAGGCCAAAACAGAACUCCUUCAAUCACUCACGACCCACUCUAGGAGGAGUUAGAAUCGGAUAACAUUGACUUUCGGCAAUAAAAUUACCCUCUACGGCGUCUUACUUUCCUAAAAGGUUUGCCCAAUUAAGGUUCUGCCUCAGGUCCCAACGACCCUAUAGCAACGGCUCCUGAUAUAACAUUAAAAUCUGUCACGCCGCCGAUAUCUCGUUCCCGGCAUGUGGCGCCGACAAAUCCGCCGUAUACAAAAGGAAUUUCCCGCUGUAUACGAAGCGCAAAGUACUGAAGAAUAUACGAUACUAACAUACAGUAGCAUAGAGCCUCAACAAAGACUAAAUAAUGAGUUCAUAUACAUAGCUAGAAUCCAAAAUACAAGGCGCUACUCGCAUUGGCGAGUCUAAACAACUAUGUAGCAUAACUCCAAAACAACAACUAACCUGGGGCAGUAGGGAAGCCCUCGUAGCUCUGACUGUCGGGUAGGGCUCUAGCUGCGCAACGCCUCCUCGCUCGAUCCUGGUCGUCGGAAGAUGCAGCAGCCGGCACCUGUGACUACUACAAAAACAUAAGUAACACGAGGCACCGUCGUGAUUGAAUUCCGAACCGAAACCUGCGUUCUAAGUCGACGGAUUUCGCCGAAAAACGCAUCGAAAAUCACUUUUCGAUUCGCGCAAGGGCUUGGGGCCUUGGACGAUCAGUCCAGAGGUUAUCGCUCGAGCCCAAACAUGCUGCCUAACAGCAAUCUACACGAAGCAAAGUCCUAAAAGCCGCCAUACCGAUACAUGAAAUCCGCAUCAUUUUAUGGUGCUUUCUAGCUCUUUUCUGUGACGCGUGCACACAAACGCAGAGUCGAUUAUACCGACGUCGCACUUUGCUGACAGGUUUCAUCAGUCGGAGGCCCGUGCUCCUACCUUCGGACACUGCGGACCACUGCGGUGCGCGCCGGAGUGACACAAUUAUGAAACCAGUGCGCACAGCGCGAAAGGUCGCGACUAACUUGCUAACCAGUACAUUUUUGCUCGCUGUGAGUGAGCAUCGUGUUCAGGCACGACACCCUAGACCAUCGUGCUCAUUUCUCCGGGUGUCGGGAAGUCAUCGGAUCACCGGAAAGGUGCCAGAAAGCUUAAUUUGCAAUGCUGGAACUCAAAAGCAGGCAUACCGGAGCAGUUGGGAGCUAGGGUUUGGUCGCACGGGCGGCGCGGAGGGCGGGCACUCCGGUGGGAUGGAGCAGACGGUCCGACGAGGCCCGGGGAGGGUGCUGGCCGGCGCGCGGGCGGCAAACUCGGUGGGCGCGGACGGAGAUCGACUCCGCGCGCAGUCCCCUCUCGAUUGCUAAUGGCUUCCGCGGCGGCAGGCGACGAGGAGAAGUCGGGCGGGCUUACGGUGCGCCGGGCGGCCGGGCGCGAGGGGAGGGCGGUGCACCCCUGGUGGGCGGCGGCGGCGCUUGGAAGCCGAGAGCGGGCCCGACCUCAGGCCCGCACAGGUCUGGCGCCACGAGAAGGUUCACGUGGCGGGCGGCGCGCGCGGGACGGCGGAGGACGCGCACGUCCGGUUGCCGGAGGUCGCCGGCCAAAAGGAGGCACGUCGUGGCCGAGAGGAAGCGUGGUCGCAGAGUGCUUGAGCCGGCUCGGACAGGCUGACUCCGAGUUGGCCGCAGGAGAGAGGGUGGCUCCGGCGGCGCUCGGGUGGCCGGGGCCGCGGGGGAAGCCGGGGAAUGGGUCUCGGCCAGGGAAAGAUGGGCUCGGCUUUGGAUCUUCCCCAACACAGACGGAUCGAAGAUGUGGCAAGUCGGGGCUAGAGGGGAACCGGAGAGAAGGUUGGGGUGGCUUUUCCGGCAGCGGAGCAGCUCGCCGCUGCCGGGGCGUGAGCACUGGUUGGGCAGUGGUGGAGCGGGCCGGCGCUGUAGCAAGCUAGAAGAAAUUAGGGUUAGGGUCCCUGGUUGAACCUUAGAACUAUUUUUAUUCUAUGUGUACAAUUGCGGAGAACACCCUCCUAGUCAAGUAAUUCUUACAAGCCCGCGCGCCAGCAUGUGGAUUAUGCGUAUAGGGUCGCCUCGAACUUCCGAAUUCGCAGCAAGACCACGCAAAAAUAAGUUGGACGCUUUUCGCGAAUAAUCGAUUUUGCCAACCUUGACGUCUCUCAGGCGGAACUUUUCCGAUUCCGAAAGAUCGUUCGUCGGGAUUUCGAUCCGACUGAGCCAAUUCGGCGUUCAGUAGCAAACGGGAGCACGGAAACUACGAUUUCAAUUCUUAUCAUCCAAUUUGGCAGGCUUUCGCGACGGAACCCAUCCGCUCUCUAAUUAAUCCAUAUAUCGUACGUAUACCAAUGUGUAAACCCAUUAAACCAACUUUCGCAUUAGAAAUUGACUUCCCUACCACUAGUAGGGACCCGAAACAUUCUUCACCCUACUCCAGGUCACAAGCACGGAGCACGAGAAGCUUUAGAAUGCACAAAAAAAGCAAAGAGCGAAAACCCUCUUUUCGGUAAAACUCCUUUUUCUCGAAAACCGUGCAUCAGAUCUAAAAUCCGUCAGUGCCAUUGGUUUCAGAAUAGCUGAACCGAUCGAAACGAGCUAUUGGAUCGCUAUGAACAGAGUCCGAUACAUGCCGAAAGCCAACUCUACUCCGUAGCUUCUCCGAAAAAAUCGGGUUACUAUUCACUUUAAGUGAAAACUAAUAAUCACGUAACUUCUCCGUUCUAGCUCAUUUUCUCCUGAAACUUGAUGAGUGCUUAUGUAAUUAAAUUACACACAUAAACAUCAUCAACAGAGAGUUUAGUUGCACUGUAAAAAAUCUCAGUCCUUACAGCUUCUCUAUAUCUAGGGACCUAAUUGGAGAAGAUGAUUAAGUAGAGGGGCUUAUGUUAGGGUUUGGUUCAAAUGAGAUCCAAAUGAGUGAUUGAUCUUUUGUUACCCUAAUUGCUAGGCAAGCGAAUGUGUUGGUGAACUCGGUUCGGCGAUCCAACAAGUCUAUGCGGAGAAAUAAAAGGAAAAGCCUGUUUUGGCUCAGUUUUGCUGCAGUCGAGAGAAAUCGGCGUCCAAAAAUCGCGGGACUUGAAUCGUGGUCUUCUAGCAUCACUACAGGUGAGGGGUGCUAUCCGGAAUCGUUGAAUUUUUUUCUAUGUCUAUGUCGCCUUUUCUUGAGCAUAUAUGUGCGUUAUGACAUUCAUGCAUUGCAGAGUGGUGGGCUAUUGUUGGGAAUUAUGUAUAUGCUUUCAAUGUUGGUGAAUAUAUGAAUUGAUUAGUGGACCAUACACGUGAACCCUAUGAAUGUACGAAAUGAAUGUGGACUAUGAUUGUAGUAAACAAGGGUGACAUUGACAUUAGCUAAAAUGAAUUAUGUUGUAUGCUAGAUAAGGUAAAACCUUAAAAGCAUUGUGAGAUGUUGGAUUAUAAUGUUAGUAAACAUUAUGGGCAUUGAUAAAUGUUGAACUAUAAUAAUAAUGAGUAUUGUGGCAAGUGUGGCCCUGGAUAUUGUGGCUUGGUGAUAUUAGUGGCAUUAUGACAAUGUAACAUAGUGACCUUAUGUCACGCCCCGGGACCCAGCGGAAGCCCGCCCGGCGCGUGCUCAGACCCGCCAUACGUCUAAAACGUAUAAGGCGUCUAAGAACAACAAUAAUAAAAGCAAUAAUAAAAGACAUUUAGGAGUAUCAGAGCAUAAUAAAUGUCUAAAUGCUAUAACCAGGGAUAAGGAUAAAACUGUAAAUCCACUAAAUAAAACAUAAAGUGAUACAAGGAAAUCCCAGAUACAAGUGCUAUAGGUAGAUACAUAGGUGGUCUCUAUACAUGGAUACAAAAACCUCUCACUCUCUCUACUACAAAAAGAAAGAGUAAACCACCUAGGCAAAGUACCGCUCCUCACUAGCUAGCUAAGCGAUCCCCUUGCCGCGAUCCCGUGCCUCCGCCGGUGCCGAAGGCUCUGAAAGUAAACCAUAAAACAGGGGCGUGAGAACUAUUAAAAAUAGUUCCCAGUGGGCAAUUACUGACUUCAGUGAAUGCACCACGAGGCCCAAAGCUACAAAAGAUGUCAGUGACUAACAAUGUAGUAAAGCGAAAGGUAAGUAAAAUGUAACUCACUAUAACAUGGAAUUUCUACUUAGCAUGAUUUGCACAAGUAAUGAAGCAACGAUAUCAUGAAUGUACAAGGAUGUGUAUGACAUGCAUAAGCACAGAAAUUCAACUAAUCCGAUGUUCUCAAUGCAGAAAUAGUAAAGAUGCCAUUGUUUACUAUUCUAGCCCAAGUUCACUUUAAUAGUUUUAAAGUUCACAUAGCACGUUCUGUCACUAAGUCCCAAUCAUAUAAGACCCACCCGAAGGCUGUCUGGCCUGCGCCGUGCCUAAUGGCCCCGUGGUAGUCAACAUCCCCACUCUAGGAAUGAGCCUCCCCCACGGCAAUCCACUUCGGCGCCCAAUCCCGCACGGCGAGCAUGUGUCGCGAUGGCUAUCUCCGGAGUGCCGGCUUGUAGGGAGCGACCCUCACAAGCAUGUGCGAAUGAGCACAAAUGGCAAGCAAACAAUGAUCUGUCUCAAGUACCAAGUCCUCAUGUCUAAAAAUAUGGAAUAUAUCAAGUAUCUCAAUGGCCUAUCUCUAUGUCAUCAUGUCUCUAACAUGGAAUAUAGCAGAUACGUAAUGGCCUAUCAAUAUGUCUCUAUGUUGCAGUUUAAAUGUUUACUAGUUCCCAAGUGCCUCUUGAUGACACUUUUUGCUACUAAGUUCAAAUAUAGUAUAAUGUUUCCCAUACAUGAACAUGAGCUAAAUUAGCAUACUAGACGAGAAUCUCAUUCGUCCACAUGAACCCACCCCACAUGCAUGACAAUAACCUUAAUUACUCUACCAUAUAGAGUGAAAUUUAACUUACACAUAGGGCAUGUAUUUUAGGUGUUCUAAAAUUCACAUAAAUUCCAAUUAGCAUAGGAAUGCAUUUAAAAAUAAUUUACGAAGAGUUUAAAAUGAAUAGGGGCCAUUUCGCCCCAUCUCCANAAAACUCUUGCAACUCUUCGUAAGCUCCGACGAAGAUGCCCACUAGCCUCCUAGCACCCUAAAGAUGUAGGAACAAGGGUUAAACGAACCUUACGAUUAACCCUAAACUCAAUCAAUAAGCAACAUAGGCUAAGAUGGAGAAAAACUCACCUAGGUGAAGAAAUUCUCUCUCUAGCUCCAAAUGGGAGUUAGAGUUCUUCAAAUCCAACCUAAAUAAAGGUUCCAAACCCAUCAAUUAGGUCUCAAAACCCCCAAAUCCAAAAACCCCCAAAAUAAACCCUAAAUCCCAAAAUCCAGGGUUUCAUCUAGUAAAACCUAGAAAAACUGUAUCAAAUGGGGAUUACAAGCUACCAACCUCAAAAGAAGCUCCAAUCCAAGCUCAAAACCAAGUAGGGUUGAAGUUUGAUCCUCCACAAAGCUCCAACCGCAAGUUCCAAGCCACCAAAGUGAGAAAUGGGGAAGAAGAUGAUGCUCCAAAGCCUCCAAGCAAGCUCCUUCUCUUCUUCUUCUUCUUCUUCUUCUUCUUCUUCUUCUCCCUCUCUUCUUCUCUCUCUAGAAUAGGUGGGAAGGGAAGAAAUGAGGAGAGAAGAGGGUGAAAUGGCCAAAUAGGCCAUUAAAAGCAACAAAAUCCACUUAGGUCCCUCAAAAACUCAAAUUUACAUCAGCCCGGUCUGGGCAGUUUUCGCCCAGAGGGACCGGUCUCCCCGACCUGGGAUCGGUCUCUCAGCCUGCCCCCGAAAAUCCAACGUUCGGGAACCGGUCUCUCCCUGCGCGGGACCGGUCUCUCCCCGCGCAGACGUGCUCGGGGACCGGUCUCAACUGCCAGGGACCGGUUGCCUCGCCGGCUGCGCAGCACUGUUCACUGGGGGACCGGCCUCUCCUAUCAGGGACCAGUCCCUGAGAGUAAAAACUCUCAGGACUCAGCCAAAACUCUCGAGAUCGAACUUUUAGGCCGGUAUACCAUCGACGGCCCUCCACCAAGUGUGGAAAUGUUCGGAAUACAAAUCGAACACUCGAACCUCGCAAUUUGCAAAGGUCCAGUGUGCUACACCUUAUGACAUAAUAUGCUAGGGAGGGUAAACCCUUAUGAGCAUUAUGAGAAUUGUGGCAAGAGUGGCCAAGUAUGUGACAUACUAGACAAGGUAAAAUCCUUUUAUGCAUUGUGGCAAUAUAGCAAGUGUGGCUAUACGUCCUCAAAUUGAGGAUUGGAUCGAUAUUCACAUUGAGUCUUGGCUUGAGGAAGGUAGCUCCCCCUCGAGCGGUUCGCUCCGGAGUUGGUCACCACUGGACGAGGUAAAGUCCCCUCAGAAGACGGUCCCUCGGGCAUGGUAAAGUCCCCUCGAUCGAUAGGAAUUUUGGGUUGUGAGUUUUGGGGUUAACAAGUGUUAACCGGGUUGAUUGGGUAAAAGCCAAGGAAAGUGAAUGUGAAAAAGUAUGCAUGCAUUAUCAUUAUGAUUAUCUUACUUGUUGGAUUUAUUAUUGUUUAGGCAUUGUAAUAGCUUUGUAUUAGUUGGUUUGCAAUCUAUCUAUUAUUUUCUUACAUAUGCCUGAGUAGACCUAGUGGGCGAGUCGGCGGUGUUAGCGGCCGAACCAUUGGAAACUUUGUUGUAAUUCUCAUCCCACUAACCAUGCAGGUUCUAGCGCGAGCAGGGCGAUCGUGGCUCGUGGCAUGGUUAUCGUGCUCUAGGUAGCGGACUACCAUUGUGUAUAGAGCCACCCGUUGUAUUUCAUCUAUUAUGUUCGAUGAAUGAAAAUGUAAUAAAAUCAUGUAAGAGAUGGUAAUGUAUAUUGGAUGAAUGAUUGUAAAGCAAAUGUAUAAGCUUUGUAUUUGAUUGAAAGUGAUCAAGUUACAAUGUAUGAUGUAAUAGUUAGAUUGCUUUCACUUGUGGUUGUUGUUGCUUGCUCUCGAGCAAGCAAUGUAUACUCGCAUUCUUAUAUUUGAAUUGUUACUGUUACACAUGUGUUGGUAGAGCCUUGGGCGGACAGGAGAGGUGCUGUCCGUUCGGCGUCUGUUGACGUGCCCGAACCGACCAAAUUGGCGGUCGUAGGGCGUGACAGGGGGCCAAUUGCAAAAAAAGCCUUGAGUUUUAUUUUGGCCCACAGUGGCGUAAAUGCGAUGGUGAUAUAUAUAUAUAUAUAUAUAUAUAUAUAUAUAUAUAUAUAUAUAUAUAACCGUGCCCUCAAUACCAGCCGUGGAAUUUCGCAUCCACGACUAUUGUGGCGUGACGAGAGAAAGGAAUCUGCAACUACAGAAGCCGUUCGUUUCCGCAUAAAAUUGUAAAAACAUAGUUUUGUUCGUGACCUCGCCCUUCAUACCAGCUGUCGGAUUUUUCAUCCACGGUUGUUGUCGCUUGAUGAGAAAAAAAAAUCCGCAAUCCCAGGAGCUGUUUGUUUUCACACAAAAUUUUGAAAGGAUGAUUUUUGUAAUGACCAUGCCCUUUGAUACCAACCGCUGGAUUUCUCAUCCACGGCUGUUGUUGCGUGACGAGAGAAGGGAAUCCCCCAUCUCAGAAGUUGUUUGUUUCCAUGUAAAAUUUUGAAAAAAAUAAUUUUGGCGAUGACCAUCAUACUAGCCGUAGGAUUUCUCAUCCAUGGUUGAGAAAAAGAAUUCAUAACUUCAGGAGCUGUUUGUUUCCACAAAAAAAAAAAUGGAAAAGAAUUUUUGGCGCCACCAUGACCUUGAUACUAGAAGGAGUUGUUUGUUUUCGCAUAAAACUAUAAAAAAAAUAAUAACUCUUUAGCAUUUUUUUUUUUGAGAGAAAGGUAGCAUGCUACCCGCUUCGUUUAUUUCAUUUAGAAAUAACUUAGCUGGAAAUGUGAAUCAACUAGGAUUUGAACUUGGGUCUCGGGUAUCAACCACCAAGUCCUUUUGCCACUUGCGCCAGGGACGGUCGGUAACUUUCUUUAGCAUUAGUGCCUGUUCGUAUUGGUUGGAAAAGUAUAUACAAAUUUUACAUAUAAAAUUACAUGGCCAAUUUGCAUAAAAAAUUCAUAAAUUUUGAGCUUUUGCAAAACUGGGCUGCCUUUUUUUAUUUUGCAGAUUCGGUCCGAAUUUUCAGCAAACUGACCAAAAUACCCUUAUUACUUUUUCUCUCUCCUCUUUCUCUCUCAUCUUCUUUUCUCUCGUUUAUUUUUUUUUCUCUCGCCGAAGAAAGCAGCGGAGGUAGAGGCAGAGGCGGAAACGGCCCACCUAGCCUCUCACCCUUAUGCUCUCGCCCUCGUCUUUUACCUCGCCCGCGCACCCCCCACCUUCCUCGCCUACUACCCGUCGAGCCCGCGCCGCUACUCUUUUUUUUUUUUUUUUUUUUUUUUUUNNNNNNNNUUUUUUUUUCUCUCUGACUCUCCUCCACCGUCUCCGACGACGACGCCUCUCUCGCCCUUCCCCGCCCUUCUCGUCCUCUCCUUCUCCCUCCUCCUCUGUUGUCUCCGACGACGACGCAUCUUCGUCGACGCCGACACCGUGAAAGUCGCUGCGGCGCUGCACCCUCGGAGCGGCGGGUCCUUAACGGCAUCGUCGCCGGCGCUGGCGUCGUGGCCGUUGGCAGAGAGGGAUGACAAAAAAAAAUUAUAGAAGAAGCAAAAAAAAAAAGAUAAAAAAUUAUAGAAAAAGAAAGAUGAAAAUAAAAUUGCAUCGUAAAAAUAAAAUUACACUAUUUUAAAAGAACGUUGCACUAUUAUGAACAUAAGUUGCAUUAUUUAAGAUGUAAACUGCAGUUUUAAGAUAAAAAUUACACUCUUUAAAUGAAAAUUACAUUCUUUGGGAGAUAUUUAUAUUGUUUCUCCUCUUAUUGUACUCUUUCAGAUGUAAAUUGAUUCCAUUAAGAUAAAAGUUAUAUUUUUUAAACGAAAGUUGCACUCUUUGAGAGAUAUUUGCAUUAUUUUUUCUCUUCUUGCACCAUUUGAGAUGUAAACUGCAUCUCUUUAAGAGAUAUUUAUACUGUAUCUCUUCUUGUUGCACUGUUUUUUUUCUUGUUGCACUAUGUCUCAUCUUAUUGCACUGUUUCUCCUCUUAAAGGUGCAGUUUAAGAGGAAAAACAGUGUAACAAGAGGAGAAAUAGUGCAGCAAGAGGAGGAACAGUGCAACAAGAGGAGAAACAGUAUAAAUAUCUCUUAAAGGGAUGCGGUUUAAAUCUCAAUGGGUGCAAGAAGAGAAAAAAUAGUAUAAAUAUCUUUCAAAGAGUGCAACUUUAGUUUAAAGAGUGUAACUUUUAUCUUAAUAGAUGCAGUAUACAUCUAAAAGAGUGCAAUAAGAGGAGAAACAGUGUAAAUAUCUCCAAAAAGUGUAAUUUUCAUUUAAAGAGUGUAAUUUUCAUCUUAAAGCUGCAGUUUACAUCUUAAGUAGUGCAACUUAUAUCCAUAAUAGUGCAACGUUCUUUUAAAAUAGUACAAUUUAUUUUAACGAUGUAAUUUUAUUUUCAUCUUUCUUUUUCUAUAAUUUUUUAUAUUUUUUUUUUCUUGCUUCUUCUAUAAUUUUUUUUUUAUCACCCCCCUCUGCCAACGGACACGGCGCCGGUGACGACGCUGCUAAGAACCCUCCGCUCCGAGGCUGCAGUGCCGCAGCGACCUUUACGGUAUCGGCGUCGGCGAAGAUGCGUCGUCAUCAGAGGCGGCAGAGGAGGAGGGAAAGGGAGAGGACGAGAAGGUCGGGAAAGGGCGAGAGAGGCGUCGUUGUCGAAGACGGUGGAGGAGAGUCGGAGAGGAAAACAAAAAAAUGAGUCGCGGUGCGGUCUCGGCAGGGUCGGAGGCGAGGAAGGUGGGGGUGCGCGGGGGCGGGUGCGGGCGCGGGCGAGGGCGAGAGCAUGAGGGUGAGAGGCGAGGUGGGCCAUUUCCGUUUCCACCUCUGCCUCCGCUGCCUCUUCGGCGAGAGAAAAAAAAUUGAACGAGAGAAAAAAAAAAAAGGAGAGAGAAAGAGGAAAGAGAAAAAGAUAUAAAGGUAUUUUGGUUAGUUUGCUGAAAAUCUGGUCCGAAUCUACAAAAUCGAAAAAAGUGGUCCACGUUUGCAAAAGCGCAAAACUAGUGGAUUUUUUAUGCAAAAUGACCAAAUUACAUUACAUAAUUUUAUUUUCUAUAUUAAAUUAUAUAAAUAUAAAAAAUUUAUUUAUAUAUCCCUAACAGGUGGAGGAAGAAAAUAUUCUCGUGCACCCAAUCUACCGCAUCAUCAGCCAUGUAGGCACAAUAAAUUAUUCUUCAAUUUUUUUUAUUAGGUUAUGUUAGUACAUCAGAAGCAGAUAUUCCGAUAAAUCUUAUUCGGCACAAAAUUUUUCUUACAUGGUUAGAAUUUAGAAGUUUAAUUGCCGUUGGUAUUCAUGAUUGUAUAGAAUUAUAUAUUUUAUCUUCGAAAUGAUUUACUUUAUUUCACAAAAGCUUAAAACAAAAUAUUAUAUUCAUUCUUUGAAUUUGAUCCUCUUGUCAUCUAUCAAAUUUUAUAUACGGGAUUUUUUUGCAUCUAGCCCCUUAAAAAAAAUUAUUUUAAAAAUAGCCUCAAUAAAUUUAUAUUUGUACUUUUGGCCCUGACCCUACCACGCAGAUGCCACGUCAGCGUCACACCAGCGGGGCUGGGCCAGGGUGUUAAGUUGAAUACGGUGAACCAUUCACCGUGGCCAAACACGGUAAAUGGUAUACUGUGUCUAGAGAAAAUACAAAUAUAUGUAUUUUUUGCAAUAUAAAUAUUGAAAAGAGGAAUAAAUAGUAAGGAUGUCAAUAGGUAUGGAUAUCUGAAAUAUUAUCCGAACCCAAACCCUAAUAAAUUAUUUAUAUACAUAAUUUAUUUUUAUUUUUGACCAAUUUGCAUAAAAAAUCCACUAAUUUUGGGCUUUUGCAAAAGUGGGCCACCUUUUUCGUUUUUGCAGAUUCGGUCCUAUUUUUCAGUAAACUGACAAAAAUACCUUUAUAUCUUUUUCUCUCUCCUAUUUUUUUCUCUCUCGUUCUUUUUUUCUUUCUCUUCCUAGAGAGCGGCGGAGGCGGAAGUGGAGGCGGAGGCGGUUCGCUUCGGUUUUCUCCGGCGCAUCCUUACCCUCACCUGCACCACCCCCCCUGCCUUCCUCGCCUCCGACCUCACCGAGACCGUGAUGUGACUAUUUUUUUUUCCCUCUCCGACCCUCCUCCACCGCCUCCGACGACUAUGCCUAUCUCACCCUCUCUCGCCCUUCUUGCCCUUUCCCUCUCCCUCCUCCUUCACCUCCUCCGCCGCCUCCAACGACGAUGCCUCUCCGCUGACAUCGGCGCCGCGGAGGUCGUUGUGGCGCUGCAGCCUAGGAGCGGGGGGUUUUUAGCCGCGUAGUCGCCGGCGCCAUGGCUGUUGGCGGAGAGGCGUGACAAAAAAAAAUUAUAAAAGAAGGAGGAAGAAAAAAAUAAAGACAAAAUAUUAUAUAAGAAGGAAGAAGAAGAUGAAAUUGUAUUGUUAAAAUAAGAUGACACUAUUUUGAAACAAAUUUGUACUAUUUUAAUAAAAAUUAUACUAUUUGAUAUAGAAAUUACACUCUUUUGGAAUAGAUUUUACACUCUUUAGGCUAACGUUGCACUAUUUAGGAGAAUUUUGCACCAUUUCUUUUUUUUUUCUUUUUCUUUUUCUCUUCUCCUUCUUCUUCUUCCGCUGCUGCCUCCCGCCCGGCCCGAGGUCCCUUCCCGUUGUCAGGGCCCUGGAGCGGGGAGGCGCCCUCGUCGCCGGCGACUUUCGGGGCAGUUGGCGGCCCCGGAGCCUGCCGGCGGGUACUUCGUCGCCGUCGCUGCUGCCGUCGCCGUGGACGGCGAGGCCGCCCUAGUUGAUGGCGACCUUCUCGACGAGGCCUACAGAAGGGCGACGGCGCGAUCGGCCCCGCGCGGGGAGGCGCUCCUGAUCUCGGCCCGGGCGAGCGAGAGGCAGCAGCAGAAGAAGAAGAAAAAGAGAAAGAGAAAAAGAAAAUGAAAAGAAAUGGUGCAAAAUUCUCCUAAAUAGUGCAACAUUAGCCUUAAGAGUGUAAAAUCCAUUACAAAAGAGUGUAAUUUCUAUAUCAAAUAGUGUAAUUUUUAUUAAAAUAGUUCAAAAAAAUCCUAGCAAUAAUCUUUUAAAAAAAUUGCAUGAGUUUCAAAAGGAAAGAUAGGUGUCGAAUUUAUUUUAAAACAGUGUAAUCUUAUUUUAACAGUGCAAUAUCAUCAUCUUCUUCAUUCUUAUAUAAUUUUUUGUCUUUCUUUUUUUCUUCUUCCUUCUUUUAUAAUUUUUUUUUGUCACGCCUCUCCGCCAAUGGCCACGGCGCCGGCGACGCUGCCACUAAAGACCCCCCGCUCUGAGACUGCGGUGCCGCAGCGACCUCCGCGGCGCCGAUGUCAACGGAGAGGCGUCGUUGUUGGAGGCGGUGGAGGAAGCGAAGGAGGACGGAGAGGGAAAAGGCGAGAAAGGCGAGAGAGGGUGAGAUAGGCAUCGUCGUCGGAGGCGGUGGAGAAGGGUCGGAUAGGGGAAAAAAAAAAGUCACAGCGCAACCUCGGUGGGGUCGGAGGUGAAGAAGGCGGGGGGUGCGCGGGCGAGGGUAAGGAUGCAUCGAACAAAACCGAAGCAUGCUACCUCCGCCUCCGCCUCUACCUCGGCCGCUCUCUUGGAAGAGAAAGAAAAAAUGAACGAGAGAAAAAAAAAAAGAGGAGAGAGAAAAAGGUACAAGAGUAUUUUGGUCAGUUUGCUGAAAAAUCGGACCGAAUCUACAAAAACGAAAAAGAUGGCCCACUUUCACAAAACCCCAAAAUUAGUGGAUUUUUUAAGCAAAUUGGCCUUUAAUUUUUUAUACAAUAUAUAAAAUAUUUAAUAAUUUUUAUUCCUUAGAUCUUCAUCCAACGGUAUAGAUUUUUAAAACCCGCCAGGUUCGGGUUUCGAGUUUUUGGUCGGGUAUAGAUAUGGGUAUGGAUUUUUAAAACCCAUCGGGUUCGGAUCCGGGUUUGGGUUUUAAUUUGAUUUUCGGGUUCGGGUUCAGGUUUUUGAAAAUCUGGCCCGUUGACAUCCCUAAUAGGGAGAAUAUAAGUACGGAAUACGGUGAAUCAUUCACCGUGCUUGAACACGGUGAAUGGUUUACCGUGUCUAGAAAAAAUAUAUGUAUUGCGAAAAAUAUAAAUGUUGAAAAAGAGAAGAAAAAAAAAAAAAUGAAACACCGUGUUUGAACACGGUGAAUGAUUCACCGUGUUCAACUUGCCAAGCAGGCCCCAGCUCGCUCAUGUGGUGCUUGCGUGGCGCCUGCGUGGCAGGAUAGGGCCAUUUUUUUAAAUAUAAAUUUGUUGGGACUAAUUUUAAAAUAAAUUUUUUUCAGGAGACCAUUUGCAAAAAAAAACUCAUAUUUUUAUUAUCUUAUAUAAUAUUCAUAACUAAUAAAUUUAUUAAUUUAUUAAAUUAUUUUUAAUUAAUACUUUGAUGUUAAUUAAUUAGAUAAAUUAUUUUUAAUUUAAAAUUAUAACACUUAUUCAUCUUAUUCCAAUCUAACUAUUCAAAUAUUAUUUAUCUUAGUAGGAAUAAAUUUAAUUUUCUUUUAAAUACAAAAAAAAUCUAAUUGUUGCUUAUAUCUAAAUUUAUAUUUAUUUUUUAAAUAAAUAAAUUUUUAUUUAUAUUCGAAUCAAAUGCAGCGUAAGAGAAAACCGCACCACAGGUGGGUGACCACUCUCUUUUGGAAUCCGCCCCGUUUGCAUUCUGAUUAAACCUACAUCAACAUUCGGGCCCUCCGCUGCUCCAGCUUCGGCAAAAGCUAACCGGUUCCCGAGCACACUCCAUCCUCCUUAUCCGCUCGUUCCCACCCUACUGCUCACUCCGCCCCCCGCGCCCGCUUCGUCGCCCGCCGCUCCGAGUCCAUCUCCGUCCGCCAGCUCCAGCGCCCUCUCAGUAUAUCAUCAUCACCAUCAUCAUCAUCAUUCUCUUCCGUCCGUUAAUCCCCACCACCCCUUCCCCCCUUCCAAACCUCUCUUCUCAAUUUCUAAUGCUGUGAUGCUGCUGUCUUGUUGUUCUGCAGUCGAGUACAUGCGGCUGCCGGCCAGCCAGUACUCCGUGCUGGACGCCGAGCGCAUCGAGCGCGUCGACGACCGCACCUUCCGCUGCUACGUCUACCGCAUCAAGUUCUUCGCCUUCGAGGUCUGCCCCGUCCUCCUCGUCCGCGUCGACGAGCACCCCUUCGGCUGCUGCAUCACCCUCCUCUCUUGCAAGGUACCUUUUACCAACCACUCCUGCUCCUCCCCCCCUUGCCUUUUUCCUUUUUCUUGAAUAAUAAUUUCGAUUGAGAAAUUCUUGCCGAAAUGCUAGUUGGAGGGCUCCCCGCUCGUCGAAGCUCAGAAUGAUAAAUUUUCAGGUAAUCUUCGCUUUCUGUACUGCGGCUCUCUUAAUUUCGCUUCAAGAAGAUUCAUAUCGAAACGGAUAUCUAUCUCGUAGAAUUGCCAAAGAUCUGGUUUGUUUGUUUGAUGGGGGAAAGUAGCGGAAGCGGCAGUAACGAACUUUCAACUUUCUGCGGAUUUGUUGUAUCAAAUGGCUUCGAAAGCAAUGUCGACAGAACUAUGUUCGACUGAACGUCAGCCCUCGGUUUGGAUACUGUUGGUUGUUUCUUAGCAGACAAGGAGGAGAUCAUUGUUGAUCCGAGGAGAUCAAUGCCGCUAAUACCUUUUAAUAGGAGCCCAUAUAAAGCUUUUUAUUUGUGGACAGCGUCAAAUUAGCUUGAUUGCUUUUGUGCGCCCUUGAACUGGAAAAGAAUAGGUUGGGUCUUAUGUAGGUCGAGUAUUGUACGAUCCCAAUAGUGCUCCUGUGUGGAGAAGGAUCCAACUUUUAGAGAGCGGAGUGGCCGGUUAAACUGGGUUGAUUAGGAAGUGGUUUGACUGCUGUUUCGGUCGGACUUUAAGAAUCGUUUCAUGAAAAAUUUGUAAAUUGGGUCGUGAGCUGGCUAAAACGGCUGGUUGGUUAGCCCUGUUAGAAUGAAAAGCAAAUAAGAAACACUGCAAUCUGUGCAUUGUUGUUCAAACUUUGAACCUUCCAGAUAAAAGGUGAGACAACUAGCUCUGUUAGCACGACAAAUUUACACGUGUCAAAUUAACUAUAUAUUAUAAUAUAGUUCAACCCCAUUUCAACCCUGGUUGAACCUCUAAUCCUUAGACUCUUUGGUGGUUCGAUGGCUGGGUUAGUUCAAGGAUCUUGAAGUGGGUGGACUUUCUUUUGCCCUUCCCACCACCCUUAACUCAUUUGCGUACUUCAUUUGGGAUUUUAUUUGAUUCUUCAUUUAAGAGUUCUAAGCAUGAAUAUCGAUAAUGUGAGUUUAAGUCUCCUGAAGUUUGAGAACUUGAAUUUGACGAAGAUAGGUUAUAGGAAGAUAGGAGUGUACGGAAUUUGUGGUGGCUAGUUAUUACAAGAAUGUUGGUUGGGUUGUUGGAAUGUUGAGAGAGGAUAGUUAGGUAGGUUUUGGCUGUAGGGGAGGAUUAGUUUGAGCUUGAACAGGAGUGGGUUUGUUGGGAUUGAUAGUAAAUAAUUAAAGAUCAUAUAAGGUGGGAUAGUUUGCUAGUGGUGGACUUGAAGUUAGGGUUUUAGAAGAGGAAUAAGUUGGGUUCUUAUAAUAGUAGCUAUAAGUUUGCUGACUAUAAAUAAAUGGUUGGUGAAAGCUUCAGUUGGAUUUUGAAUAUGAAAAUUGAAAUUGUGGGAGAAUAGAGUGGGCAAUUGAAUCUUUUGAAAAAUUGGUGGGGAGAGCGAAUCUCAUCAAAUGAAACUGUUGGCUUGAAGGAUAGAAACAAUGUUAGCAUUCACCUUUGUGAUUACAUAAGUAACCAAGAAAAAAAAUGCACCGUAAGUUUAGUGGGCUUAGCUUGUGGGUUGCAGUAGAUAAAUUCGGGAAGCCUAGUGAACCAAAAACUGGUUAGUUAUUCAAUAAUUGAGGCAAAUUUCGGUGCACAAAUCGAACAGGAUUUUAAAAAUAUAUAUCAGUUUAUGACAAAAUAUUAACUAAAUGAGGAGUAUAUAACAGUUCAGUCCAAAUAUUAUAUGGCAUGUGAGCAUGGAGUAGGAGAGUUCAAAUCAUGUUUGUCGAAUGCUAACGUUUCCUCUAUGUUGUGCAAUUAUUUUGCGGUGUGUUGCAACAAGACUAAAUGAUGGACCUCUUCAUGUGAAAAUACAGAUUGAAAUCUUCUAUUCACAAAUUCACCUUCAUGGUCACUUUGGAAAUCAUGAAUAUUUAGUAUCAAAAAUACUAUAUUGUAGAAAAUUAAAAAUUUUUAAUUUUUCAUGCACUUUAUAUUUCUUAUAGCAAGAUCCAAGAAAAUUUUCAAACAUAAUUAAUGAAAAUGACAAAUUAUUUGAAUCCAGAAUGAGAUAAGAUUAAAAACAUAACACGAAUAAAAGGUUGAUAGAUUUGUGGUACAUAGGCAUAUAGAUAAAGCAGUUACAAAUAAAUUUUGCUCUAAGGUAAGGAUUAAAGUGAAACUGUGACUAAAGUUUGAAACCUUAAAUGGUCAACUUAAAAGCUAACCAACCAAAAUAAAAGUUGAUUAAAAAAAAAGACUAAAAGUUCAAGGGCUAGUGGUGAAAUUUAUCCAAUUCUUUAACCUGUAGUAUCUCCAUUUGAGAACACUCCAGGGCAUUCUUUGGGGUACAUCAACCAAAAUUGGAUUCAUAUCAUUUCUUGCGUCAAAGCUGCUGUUCCUGCAAUCUCGCACAGUAUCCAAACUAACCCAAAACUAUAAUCCUUGUUUCUUCUCUUUCACCACUCGACACUUGUCCGCUAUAUUCCUCUCUCUCUUCCUCUCUUCUCUCUGUUGAUUGUAAUCCUCGUUUGUUCUCUCUAGCUUUAUCUCUCCCGACAUAUCCUAUUAUCCUUUCUCUCUCCUCCACGAGCUAGUUAUCUGUAAAGUGGAUGUUGAUCUCUAACUAUUAAUUUCUAAUUAUAGUAAAAAUGUUGAAGGAAAGGAGGAGGAGGUGGUGCUCCAACCUUGCCACCAUUGAUUCUUCAACUUCUCCCCCUUUAUUGUAAAGAGAGAGAGUGCUUUUUUUUUUCUUUUUAUUUUUGUAUGUUUGCAUGCAUGUGCUGUGGGCAGAGAGGAGGGUUGAUGCUUAAUGUUAUAAAUAUAAAAUCAAAUGUGAUAGAUGUGAUCUACACCAUCUAAAGAUAGUGUAAUUGGUCAAAAUUAUCAGCCCAAGCCCUGGUAGAACAUGUAGAACCAUGCUGAAAAUAGCGAGGAAACCUUUUUUAAGGUUUGCAAGUGAAGCUUUGAGCCUUUCACUGCAUUAGACUUGUUGAUACUUGAUCAAGAAAAAGUGAUUUGAGCACUCUUGCUUGGAAUCAGACUUCCAUCUUUUCCCAACCCCUAUCUCCAAUGCUUCACGAGAAAUAGAAGCAGUAGAUUGACUCAUUAUAGUUUGAAGGGGAUCAAACAAGAGAGUAUGAUUGAUCUGUAAGAAUACUAUGAUUUAGAAAAGUGAAUCGGACUGACCGGUCAAACUGGGUUAAUGGGGAAUCGAUUUGACAGCUGGUUUAGUUCAAUUUUAAGAACCUAUUUUAGCAUAUAACCAAAUCAAACAGGUCCAAACCACUUGAAUUGGCCGGUUAACUACAAACCUGUUGGUUCAAGCAACCUGGUUUGGUAUAUGGUUAAGAAUAAAAAUUUUAUUUGUUUCAAGGAAGGUUCGAACCUGCAUCCAAACCAAAGGCAAUUAAUAGAUUAACUACUGGACUAAGAAACUACCGGACUAAGAUAUGCUUUCUUAUAACAAGUGGAAAUUCUAUAUAACAUAUUAAUCGAGUUAAUUUUGUUAGAAAAUAUAUUUGUAAUCAUAUUAUAUAUUUAUUUGUUUAUUUACAUGUAUUAUUUAUUUAUUUUUAUAUUUAUAUAUUUUUAUAUUUUGACCCUACUUCAACGUCGGUUAUCAGUUUGAUGGCCGGUUCGGUUCUCAAAACAUUGAUAAAUACAAUCAAAUUAAUGGCAAGCCUUUGGUUACUAAUUCGCAAAACACCUUCAUAUUUUGAAUUGGAACAUGCGAUUUGAUUCAUAGAUGUUAUGACAAAAGCAGAAAAGAUCUAGUUAGUAGGGCACGAAAAUAUUAAAAGAGAAUCGAGAAAGAGAAGGAAAAUAAAGCAUACAAAUAUUUACGUAGUUCGGCCGCUAGGCUCUCUGUCCGUAGGCUACGAUGGUGCGAAGAAUUUCAUUAUAAUCAAAGCGGAGUACAUAAAACGUCUCUCUCACAAACUUUAGCCCCAAAAUGCACCCCAUAUUCUUGCCCAUACGCCGGGCCAAAUCGGGAGAAUAAAGUGUAUAUUUAUAUUAGAAAAAAAAAAAAACCCAAUAAGACUAUAAAUAAUUUCAAUAAGAUUAAGCAUAAUUUAAACUUAAUGGGGUAACCAAAACAAAAUAGGGGCAAAUCUUGCGGUUCAAAAAUUCGAGACAUAUCUAACAAUCUUUACCUUGCUUGAAUUCUCCGUUUUCUCCACCAAAAGUCCCAAAGGCUCCUUAAAUGCUGCUGCACAUUUAAACCAAGCCUGUGGAAUAUUAACUUUGGUCAUCAAAAUAGGCUUAAUAAGCAAACUGGCAGUUCUAAAGUGUCAAUCUUUUCAUUUUCCAGUAAUGCUUCUUGCAAUAUCUGUUGCAUUAGAAUGAUAUCUUGUCGAAGAGCGAAACUACUGAAUCGAUCAAGCAUCUCGGUCUCAAAUUUUGUCAACAUCUUGAAUACCCAAACGAAACGGUUGGCUUCGAUACCGGUUUGUUAUUACAAAACCAAAAAAGAUAUAGUUCAUCGGGCACAAAAAUACCAAAAGAGAAUCGAAAAAAGAGAAGAAAAAUAAAAUACACAAAUAUUUACGUGGUUAGACCACUCCCCUACGCCCAAGCGAAGAUGCAGCAGAGACUUUCAUUAUAAUCGAAGUGGAGUACAAAGAUGCCUUCCUCACAAAACCCUAGCCUCAAAAUACACUCCAUAUUCUUGCACAUCCGCCAUACCAAAUCAAUGGAAUAAAGGGUUUAUUUAUAUUAGAAACUAAAGCCCAGUAAGACUAGGAAUAAUUUCAAUAAGACUAGGCAUGAUCUAAACUUUAAUGGGAUAACCAAAACAGAAUAAGAUUAGGAAACCUUGUGGUUCCAGAAUUUGAGACAUAUCUAACUAAAGAUCAUGAGUGAAUUGGAACGGCAAAAUGAGCAAUCCCAUGCUAACCUGUUUACUCUAUUCCGGAACCAUAUCGAGAGCAAUAUAUACACUUAUAUUUAUGUAUAUUCAUGUAUAUGUAUGCAUAUGUUUUGUGUGUAUCAAAUGCAUGUUUUCUAUUCCUAUAAAUGCAUGUCAAUGUAGACUACACCCAUUGUACCAUGUUUUAGAGUAAUGAAGAAGACAUCGUCAUAGCACUCAGGAAAGAAGGUUUUAUAGCCUGUGCUGUGAUACCAUAAUGAUCGUGAGAAGCUUAUCUAGUUUGGGUGGUGUAAUAUUAAUAGUUGAAUAAAUUAUUCAAAGUAGAUACAAGACUAAUUAUUAAUGAGUUCUAGGUGUACAAAGGCAAUCAAUACACUAGCACAUUUAGCACCAAUAUUUGGGACAUGGAAUGAAGCUCUAUAUUCGGAUGGAAGAAAUCAUGAAUGAGAGAAAGUAUAUUAACAAAACGCCUAUAAGUGAAGAAGCCAAUAGGGAACUAAAGCCCUUGUAAUGUGCACUGUGGUUGGCGCUCCGAACUGCAAAUGUGGUUGGCUAAUCUCAUAUGCAGUGAUUUAAAACCCCAAACCAUUUACUAUCCUGAAAUAUUGCUGGGUCACAAGUCACGGGUCAAUGGUCAUUGGUUCAACUAGUGGUUCAGCUACUGGAUUGAAUGAUGUCAGCAUGACAUUAUAAAUAUUUAAUUAUUAUUUUUUCAUACUAGAUAUAUAAAAAAUAUACUAAGUAUAGUAUUCUGUAUUAUUUUAAAAUAUUAUUGUAUUAUAUAUAAUUAAAAAUGUAUCCAAAGUGUAGAUUAUUAAAAAAACUAAUGCAUGUUUUUAAUUAAUUAUUGAAAUAAAAAUAAAAAGAAACCCAGCUAGUUUUUGUAAAAUUGGGCCAGUUCACUGGUUGAGCCACUGGUCUGAACAGGUCUAAAUGGAUUUUAAACUAGUUCAUUUUAUGGGUUGAACCAAACUAGUUGGGCACUAGGUCAUGGUCCAGCCGGUCCGACUGGCCAGGUCAACCCGGGUUUUAAAACAUUGGUCAUAUGUUGAUGUUGGGAAUACUGCAUUUUUAUUCAUUGACUUGUGAAGUCUCGUGAUAUGGAACUACCUAAGAAAUUGGAUUUGCUGCUGAUCUAUAUCUGAGAGAUAAAGCAGUCUCUCUCUAGGGAAAUUCUGCAUUUGCAUAUUUAGCAAAAAUCUAAGAUAGUUGCAUAGGUUUUUGAGUUAUUUGUUAGGGCUAAGCUUUUUGCUUGGUUCUACUUGAGAACACCUUGAUUUUGCAGAACAUCAUAAUCCCAUGCUUCUGUAGUUAAAUUUUACAUCUCCUUAGUAGCCUUCCUUACUUCUACCUCUGAAUGAAACUAUUUAUGCCUUCUUUUCAGGACACCUUUGACAUUGAUUUGCUGUGGGAAAUGCAGCUUCCAUGGUGAAUAAAGUUUCCUGCAACGAGGAUAUGCUAGAUUCGGCAUUCCAGCCACUCACAUCAGAGACUCUGAUCGAGGCAAUUCUCAUACUUACAUCUAUGGCUAGAAUUUUGUUUAAAUUUUUAUUUUGUUAUUUGAGUUUCUUUUUUUAUUAUGAUGAUGUGCAGGUUACAAUUGAAAUUCCAUUUGCAUUUCGAGCAAUACCAGUGGAAGUGAUUGAAUCAACUGGUAGGCAGGUCCUUGAGCAGCUAUUGAGAAUAAUGCUUCCGCGAUUUCUUAAGCAGGUAAUAUCAAGUUUCUUUACUACAGGCUCAAGUAUAUACUUUGCUUUUAAAUGAAAGCAGAACAUUGUGCAACACAGGCUAUAAAUGGAGCCAUUGAUUCCAUAUAUCAAACUCUUUAUCACAAGAAAGGGAGAAAAUUAAAUAAUGUUAAAUUUGUGGUUUACUCGGAAACUAUUCUUGGAGUAUCUGUGGUUGUUUAAAUUUUGUGAGUAGUAUGAAGUACCUUUCUUGUUAUCAGCAGGACCAGAUAUACUCAAAUAAGAAAAUAAAUGUUAUCAUGUAAAGUGCUGAGGUUACCGAGAUGAGGCCACCUAGAUAAAUUACUUUUUGGGGUAUCAAUAACUAACGGCAUAACACCCUGUAAUAACUUCCAAACUGCACCUUGGUCAGCAGAAUCUUUUUUUUUUCUUUAAAUUUUCUUUAAAUUUUUUUUCUUUCAUGUUCAUGUUUGUUGACCCUGUCUUCCUUUUUAUAUAUAGUGUAUUUUGUUUUCAUCCACGACCCACUGCAGUCGGGUUUUUGUUGUGACUGCUUUCUUGGCUUUUGUUGCAUGUUAACCACACGAAAAUAGUAAUUUCACUGUGGAAACCAACAAACAGGGUUGUUUCUGUUAAGUUGGUUACUAGGCAAGGGCGGUCACUUAUCUCUCUAGCUAUGAUGUUCAAAUUUUGGAAUUGGGCACCAUAGCAUACUUGUUUAAAUUAAACAGAAAACUACUCAAAAUCUCAUCGAAUGCACGAUGUGCGUCAAUGUUUUCUAAUUCAACUCCUGUGCUAGAGACCUGUAUAUAUGUUCCUUCCAAGAAAAAAGUUCACGGUUUAUUUUUUCUAGGAGUGAUUGUAGGCAGGAUUCCCUUGACUAUGUGCAUCCUGCAUUGUAAAUUUUAUGGUGAUGUACAUCAUUGAACUCUCUUCGAAAUCCUGAGCUAUGUUUUGCUCUUAUGUAACCAAAAUCUUUUCUGUUCUUAUUAGAGCCACAAAGUAUCGUUGUGGUAGCCAAACCACUUAGACAUAUUCUGUAGAUAAGACAUUUGAAUUUGACUCUGCAUGUGGGAAUAUUCGGAGCAUUUUUGUCGGUGCUCUUUAAAUUACGUUCUUUGUUUCAGCUAGUAAAGGACUACCAAGCAUGGGCUUCGGGUGAUACCUCGAGGCAGCCACUCGGCACCGGUGAAAUUUGAAGCAAAAGGCGCUCAGAGAACUCUGCUCUGUAAGCCUCCACCUCUGCUCCUGGUUUCUUUGACUUUGUUAAAUUAUUCAUGUUUAUGUUAAUUAUGUAGUGCUCAGGUAUUUGCUUCUUAAGUAGUGUACAACAAAAACUGAAAUUUGAUGAACAAUUUGUAUUCCUAUGUUCGUCUUCUUUUUCUUCAUUUUUCUUUUUUUCCUGUAUGAACAGUUUUUAGAAUCUCAGGAAUCAAAGCUAUGGUGAUUGUCAUCUACUUGUAAUUCGAAUUAGCCAUAUAAAAAUUGUCAUCCACUAGUAAUCAAACCUAUGAAAAUUGAAUUGGUUAUCACAUAACAAAAUUAUUUUGUGUGGUACAUUGUUCUCAUUUUGAAAAUUGUUAUUAUCAAUGCCAUUUAAAUCUUUUUUUAUCAUAUUUUGAACUUUAAGCCACAUAUAGAAUCUUUCCUGUAACUAAAUGUUGAAGAUUCUCUUUAUUCAUAUGGGCUAUGUUUCUCAUUAAUUCAGUAUUUGUUUGUCUCUUUUUCUUUGCACCUUACUAUAUGUAAAAUAACGCCUGUUUUGUGAUUAUGUCAUGUACACCGCUUGUGGUUUUUUUUUUUUUUUUUUGUAUAAUUUUCUGGGAAAAAUGUACAAACACGCCUAAACUUUAGCUCUUUUACAAAAAUAUGCAUUUGAACUUUCAAUUUUGAUAAUUACUUUCUCUGAGCUUUAUCAAAUAGUUUAAUAGGUUACUCUCCUCCAUCGAAAUUAUUAUUAGACUGCUGCUUUUAUACAUUAGAAUAGUUUAUGUUUUGAAUUUUAUAAGAUUAUGUGUAAGAUAUACAAUCAAAGCGGUUGUAUUAUUAAAAAUUUCAAUGAAAAUUGAACUAUAUAAUAAAAUUUAGUUGCUAAAAUUAAAGUUCAAAUAUUUAUUUACAAAAGAACUUAGCGGUUCUCUAUCACAUUUUGUCGGAUCGUUGACGCUAGCUAUUAAUCUCAAAAGCUCAAGCUGUUAGAAAUAUACAAUAAAUUCACUUAAAGUGUACAGAUACAGCGUCCAUGAGUCUCAAUUGUGAUUCGGUCGAACCGGCUUCAGGCCACUUUGAUGAUGACUCUGCCCAUUUAGCCUCACACCAUUUUGAACAUGAUUCGGUCUAACAUGACCUCCUGUCACAGGGCAGAAUGCUGGCUUAUUUAAGCCAACAUAUUUUCUAUUUCUUUUCUUUUUUUUUGGGAGGGGUUUUGUCGGCAUGAAUGGCACGUGGAUAAUUAGAAUAAGUAAUUAAUAUCUGUAUUCAGUGUAUCCGUACAUAUCGUGCACUACUUUUUCUUUCCCAUAAGAGAAAAAAAAUAUUGUAGGGCGAAAAAAAAAAGNAUCCAAACUAUAAACCCACGCGGCCACCAAUAUAAAACCGAACAGCAUAAGCAUCACGUCAACCGAUUUUCCCAUCAGAAAACCAUUAAAAAAAGCGAUCCAAGAACAGGAAAAAUAGAAGCGAUCUAUUACCAACAAAUCCCCCCGCCUCCAAAUCACUGUAUAGCGAUCAAAUCCCUCCACACAGAGGGAGAAACCGAAUCAGCGAAAUCGGUUCUGCUACCCCGAAACCGAUUACGCGUCGCGGGAACGGUUUAAAAAUGGGGGGUUUCGAAGGGAAAGAGCAGGGUUUCGAUGGAGCGGCCCCUUCGAUCCCCCAAAACACGAUCGCGAACUUUAGAACACCUAAAAGAAAAAAUUGCAACAAUUGAUUCCCGUGUGAUAUCAACCUAGGAUUUUUUUUUUUUUUUUUUUUUUUUUUUUUGGGGGGGGGGGGGGGGGGUUGGAAGAAAGUGGACAAAGUUGUCAUUCUACGGUUUGAGGGUUAACGUGAUCUGGACGUGAGAAGUGGGCAUUGUUAGCUAAAGUUCCUUUUUGAAGUUAAAAGAGAUCAUUUGGGGGACUGAAUCAUAAGAUUGUGAAAAUAUACUAGUCAACGAAAUUGUAGAUUGUUGACAAAUAGAAAGGAGGUGAUACUGAAACGUGCAGGUGGAGGCGCUUGGAAUCAUAGUUGUCCAAUCUGAUUGUUGAUCACCAAUUUUCCUCCGACACCUCUCAUUUCCGAAAGUUCCCUCUGACGGAAGGUGCACUAACAAAAUAGAAAUAAAAAAAGCUCUGUACUCAGAUCUCGGAAUGUCAAUGAGCCGAACACGAGCAAGUUGGAAUUAGUUCAUGUUCGUGUUCGUUUGUUUAUUAAAUGAGACUAAUUAAUAUGAGUUAGCUCGUUAAAAUAUUGAGUUGAAAAAUUCAGCGCGUAUUCGGCUCAUUAAUAAUACGAGAUGGCUCGCGAACAGCAAUGCGAUUCAGCUGCAUUUGUUCCAGUGCUUUAAUUUAAUGGUAGUGUGGGGUGUAGGCUAGAAGCUUCUGUAUUUGGAGGAAAAACUUUUAUUAAUAAACAGCUGGUGUUGUAUAGGGAGGGUCAAUACAGUGGUCCGGGGUUUGAUCCUCGGGUGUGCGUUUUUUCGGAAAUUUAGUUCCCAACCUUCCUUCGGGCUGGGAGAUUUUUUUUGCGUGUGUGUAGGGUAAGGGUGAAAACCGUCGGAAAUGGUUAGAUUUUAAUAAAAUUAUAUUCACGUCCAUAUUUUUCUUCAGAAAUGGAUAUAUGUUAUAUGCUAAAUUUUUAUUAUCAUAUUCGUUUGUUGGUUGCCGAUUGUCCCGACCCUUGACUCAAUCAAAGAUCUUUCUCGGAAAGUGCGUCGGGGUGAGGAACGGCUGCGGAUAGUGACCCUCGAAGUUUGCGCUUUCGACAGAUCAAGCGAUUCGGCUGACGAGGGAUCGAGCCAGCUGGGUCCGAAAAUUUUCACUGUAGAAUCGGUUUGGCUGGAGGAGCCUAAUAUAUGAACUGUGCAGGGAUCAAUGUUGGCAGAAGAGCCGAAUGGAAGAAGUACAGUAUAACUGGUCAGCUGAAAGAGCCGAAUAAAUAAAAUACACAAUGACUGGUCGGCUGAAAGAGCCGAAUGCCUAAAUAUAUAUAUAUAUAUAUAUAUUAAUAAAACAGAGUGUACCCGAAGGGCAUACAGACUCUGCAAAUAUGUAGUUUACAACAGAGUGAUGCUCGUGGGGCAGAUAGACUCUGCAAAUGUAGUCUACAACGGAGUGAUGUCCGUGGGGCAGACAGACUCCAUGGUUCUACUUAGCGAACUACUCCUAGGAAAGCAGUAAAUGCGGAAAAGAAAAAGAUUAUAUUUAGACUACUCAUAGAAAAGCGAUAAAAUUGCGAGGAAAUAAGGGUGAUCUUUUGUUCACGGGGAAAAGACUCUUAUUACAGGCUUUGAAGUUACUAUUUAUAGUGAUGUCUUCUCAGCCCACAUUAUUGGUCGGUUGAAAAUAGUGGGGGGAGUGGUUGUAACCAUGAUCGUGGAAGUUACGCCCACUCCUCAUGGAAGUUACGCUCCAUUGUGGAAGUUAUGCCCACUUCUCAACCGUUCCCGCCUAAAACCUUCAGGCGCCUUAUUGCCGACUCCUGGUGUACCACAUGUCCUUAUUGGCUCAUAUGUGGAUUAGGUCGCUAUGUUAAUUUCAAUUUUGGCAUCAACACCGUUAAAAGUAUAUAUAUAUAUAAAAUUGAGCUUCUAUGUUUUUAAAAGUACCAAGUUAUUGGUGUUUAUAAAUUUUUGACCAUUAGAUUAAGAAAUGUGCGAUUAGAAUGAUGUGGGACCCCUAGGGUUGAGUGAGUGGUUGGUUGAAUACUAUAAUCUAACGUUUUGCUAUCAAGUUAUGAGUACCAAGUUCUACUGUUUGCAAAUAUAUCCCUGCCGUUAGAAUCCGUUAGAAAAGUUUAGUUGACCAUAUGUUAAAUAUUUUAUCCGGAUUAAUUUUUGACAUUUUUACCCCUCUUAUAUUAUUAUACUAUUAUAACUUUUGGAGGGAUAUAUUUGUGAUAUUAAAAUUGAAAAUAUAAAUAAUUUUCUAACGGUUCUCUAACUGUAACUGACCAAAGGGACAUAUCUGAAAAUAUUAGGACUUUUGUAGGAAUAACUUAUGAAAGUUAAACUUUAUACAGAUAUAUUUGUAAUUCACUAUGUUUGCGGGAACCUGUAUGCAAUUAACCCUAUAUAUAUAUAUAUAUAUAUAUAUACGGAGCCCUCCGUGCUUCCAUAAGUAUCCUAGCAGCACUACUCUUCUCUCUCUCUCCUCUCUCUCUCCUCUCCUCUCUCUCUCUACUAUAUAUAUUAUAUAUAGAUAUAUAAAUAUAGCAGGAAAGGAGACGUAUCGUGUUCAAUAUUCAUAUAUUUAUAUUUUUAUUCAAUAGAAGAGAUAUUUAACAAUAGAGUUCAGUGCAAUUUUAACAUGAAACAUAUAUGAAUCAAGAAAAAUCAUACAGUAGAAAAUCACAUUAAAUCCUCUCUUACCAAUAUAAAUUAAAUUCCCUCUUUUAUUUCCUAAGACUGAAAAUAAUUGAAUACAGCGUUGAACAUUUUUUAAGAAAAUAUUUGCAUUCGAUAUAUAGUAGUACUAAUUAUUAAAUAGCUAUAUACUAAAGGUUUUCCGAUGCAAAAUCGAUAUGAAUAUACACUACGAUUGCGAAAUUUGACAUCCAUUAUUGAAUCAUAUCGAAUCAAUAUCGAAUUCGAUUGGAGUUUAUCCUCCACAGUACUAGCUUCCACCCCUGGUGUAAGGCUGGCAAAUUGAGCGAUCGGCUCGAUUCGACUCCGCUCACUCGAUAUUUGCUCGCUCCGAGCAUAUCGACUCGAAAUUAAAUCAGCCGAUCGCUUUAACAAAAAAAAAGGUCGAAAUUCAUUUCAUGACGGCGUGAGUCUCGAGUAUACCGGACUCAUCAUCGAAUUAGGUCUUGAAACUCGAAAACUCGAAAUAUAUAUACUAUAUAUAGUAUAUAUAAGUACAAUAUAUACGGUAAUAAUAAGUGAUAAAUAUAUAUAGGGAGGAUAUCAUACACUAAGUAAAAACAGAGAUGCUACGCCAGGAAAGUAUAGAGAACUGGUGCUUUCAAUUUUGAUUCUCUAACAACAUCCCCUUAAUUAUUUUUUUUGAAUUAAUACUAUCUAUUAUCUUGUAAGAGGACCGCACUCAAUCCCUAGGGAUAUUAUUUAUCAGAGGGACCGCCAUCAUAACCCAGACCAUAAAUAAUUCUUAAUCAAAUGCAAAAUAUUCGAUGAAACAUCAUCCUCUAUUAUUUUCGAUAGCAUGAUAGUUCUACAACUAUAUAUAUAUAUAUUAUAUAAAGUAUAUAUAUAUAUAUAAUAGUAUAUAUAAUAUAUAUACUAAUAAUAUAUAUAAAUGUUAAUCUAAGUAUUAUAUCGAGGCUGAUUAAUAAAUCUAAGUUGUAGAAAUAAAAUGCCAUAUUAUUGCUCCAUAGGAAAAACAAACCGCACAUAACAAAGCUAACGAACAGCAAAGACUUUCACGUAUAAUUAGACAUUUUUUCCUUUCUUUCCUUUCUUUCACAGAACUCUAAAAUUUCAAUAUAUUUUCUCUCUAUUCUCUUUUUCCGCUCUCACCCUAAGCGGCCACAGCCGGAACUCUCAACAAGUUACGCAAGUAAAGUAUAUCUCCGUUGCCUACCUUGCUAUUAAUUGUAUGCUUGAGAAAAUAUACAGAAUAUUUUUAAAGUAAAAAAUUAUUAUUCAUAUAAAAUUUUAAUUUUUGUUAUAUAUGAUUGGAUAGUUUAAUCCAAUAUUUAUCUAUAUAAUUUAUUUAUUUUUGACUGUAUAAAUGAAAAUGAAUAAUAUGAAGAUUGAAGGCAGAAGAAAAGACAUGUGAGGCUGAAAAGAUUAGAUAUUCAACUCAUAAAUUAUUUUUUUCAUAUUAUAAUACUGUAUUUUAUAUAAUUAUUUUGUACUUUGAACUAUUAGAUAUAUUUUUGUAUCAAAUUAUAAAUAAUGUUCUAUACAAAUUAAACUAUUGAUCGUAUGAUGUUGAGAAUUUCAAGCGGCUCGUUUAGGGCUCGAGCUCGCUCGACUCGAAAUUAGGCUCGCUCGAGCUCGGCUCGAAUUAAUUUCAGUCUAAGCUUGAGCUUAAAUUUAAGCUCGAAAUUAAUUUCAAGCCGAAUUUGAGCCGAGGUAAGCUCGCUCGAGCUCGGCUUGUUUCCACCCCUACAAGUGUGGGGUGUGGUAGGUGGCGGUUCGGAAGAUGUAACUCUUUCACUUUAUAGAUUGAAUUUCAAAAAAAAUCAGUAAAUUAUCCACUUUGUUCUUAUUUUAGAAAUAAAUAUAAUUAAAAAUACGAAUCAACUGGAGAACAAAUUUUUUCCUUGAACUUUAGCCACUUUCUCAAUUACUCUCUAGAAUUAAAAAUUACAUCAAUUACUAUCCUAUAUUUUGCUACCAUAUCAAAUAAAUCUAAAAUUUUAAAAAAUGGAUAAAUUAGGUUCUAAUAUUUCACUAAAAGGAGUUAGUAUAUCACAUUAUUCCAUAUUUCAACGUCUAUUUAAUUUAUAAUUUAAAAAAUAAAUAAAAAAAGAUAAAUUAGAUAUCUUAUUUUAUUAAUAUUAUCAAAAUUGAUAGGUUAUUGAGCAAUUUAUUCAAUUUAUAUAAUUCUAUACUGAUAAGUUACUUAUCUCCACAUCUUUUUUAAUAAAAUUUUAUAGCUAUGAUCCUAAAUAGUCGGAUCUAUUUAAGAUAAUGGUAAAGUAUAAGGGAGUGAUUGAUGUAAAUUUUAAUUUACGAGGAUAAUUAAGAGUAGUAGUGAAGUACAAAGAGCUUUUUACUAGGUUUUUUUUUUAUUUUUUUUUAUUUUUAAGAACUUUUCUUUAGGGGCCAUCAUGCACGACAUAAACUCUAGUAUAUUUUGUUUCUUCGUAACUAAUUUUUCGAUUGAAAAUAGCGCUAUAUUUCAAUUAUAUUAAAUCUAAAUUUUUAAAAUAUAAAUUCAAAACCAUGUUUUAAAUAAUUUGAAAGCUUCCUCUCAUAUGAAAAUGACAAGUUAUUUGUGGAUGGAGAAGAAAGGUAGAGAGAAAAAAGAAAACAAAGAGAAAAGAGAGAUUUAGAUCAUAUAAUGAAAAUAAGUUUACUUAAAUAUUCACGUAUUAAAACUCCACGAAAUUCCUCUUUGGAGUACUUGGUAACCGAUACUUCUUUCAGUUUGACCUGCUAUUGCAGAUCAUAGCAGGUCACAACUUAAAAAAAAAUUAAAUUUGAGCCGUAGAGUAGAAACAAAUGAACGACAUUAAAAAAUAACAAGUAUAGAGCAUUACUCUUUAAAAUAAAGCUUGCUCAAAAAGUCAGGAAGUGCUGGUGUAAUUUAUCUGAAAAUAUAUAUAUAAUGAAAAGUAUAGAAAACCAAACCGAGCCUGGUUACUAUGGAAUUUAUUUUAACGACCGAUUUGGUUUAGUGCUAAAAAUGUGUUACAUGGUAUAACCAGAUCGAAUCAGUUUGAACAAUCUGAACCAACUAGUUUAUAACGAAUCACUAAAUUGGGCAAUUCAAGCCUCUUUGAUACAUGAUAUAAAAAGUGUAAAAGCAAGAGACAUUUAUUAUCGGUGUGACGAUGAAGCCAAAAUACUUACCCAACUGCGUGUAUGGAAUAAUUCUAUGUAAUAUACUUAAAUAAGUUUAAAUUAUUUUAAAAAAUAUAUUUCUAAAACUUCGACUAUCUUAGUUAUACUGCAUGUACACCCCGCGUACAUACGGUAUAAAUGUCACACCCUUGGAAUCCUAGAAUUUGAAAUAAUAUUAAAAUUUUAGAGUAAAAAAUAAUAAUAAGAUUAGUAAAGAAAUUUAAUUUCAUCGUGAAAAAAUUAGAAACAUCUGAAGUGUAAAGAUAGCACAGGUGUAUAGAUAGCGUUUGAAGGGUGAUGAAAGAUCACGCAUAGCAUAAGUGUACGGAGAGCACUUUUAUUAUUAUUAUUAUUAUUAUUAUUAUUAUUAUUAAAAUAACUGGGAAAAUUUAAAAAAAAAGGAAAAACUUAAAAAAAUCUCCCUGUAGUUUCGCAGUUUCUCACUUGAUCACUUUGUGGUUUAAAGUGUAUCAAUUUGGUGCCAUGUGGUUUUAUUUUUAUCUUUUCGGUAGCUUUUUUAUUAAUAUUUCGUUAAAUUAUAUACAAAAAACUUUAAAUACCUAUCUAGAUUUAUUGAAUAUUCACUUUAGUAUCUUUUAAUUUUAACUUUGUCACUGAUUUAAGAAAAAAAAAAUUAUAAAAUUGAUAAUAAAAAGAAAAAAAUAAAAUCAUAUGAUACUAAAUUAAUAUAUUUUAAAUUACAGGGUAUUAAAGUGAGAAAGUACGAAACUACUGAGAGGUUUUUGAAGUUUUUUAAAAAAAAAAAGAAAAAAGAAAAGACCAGAAGCAUCCGGAGAUCGAGCAUCCCAAUGAGGAUAUCCGAAGAUUCCCAACUUUAUCAACAGAAAAAUUAGGGGGAAAAAAAGAAAAAGAGAAAAGCGAGUGAAAACAGUGAAAGUUGGUGGCAUUGAAGCGGUGGUGCUCGCCGCAUAUCCGCAGAAGAUGCCGACUCUUUUCCUCUUUCUCCCUUGGAAUUGUUAUGAUGACACCACGAAAAGCUCAAAAAAGAAGGUGACCUCCCCACGACCCCGAAGAGCCACUCCUCCCAAAGAGUAAAGUGCUAGUCGGCAUGGAUCGUAUCCACGUGUCGUAUCGUAUCAGCAAAAUAUUACUACGAUAUAAUUUUUAUACCGAUGACACAAUUCAAAAUUUUCUAUCCUUAAAAUUAAUAAAUAAAUUUUUUUAAUAAAGUUUAAAAUAUUUGAUAACAAUAUAUAAUGAAUAGUUGGCAUAUUUUGCUUCUAAAAAAAAUAAAUAUUUUAUAUUAUUACGUGUCGGCACAUAUAUAUUUUUUGUGACCGAUAUGGAUCGGCACGGUUCGGCACACAAUGUGUCGUACCAUACCGAUGAGUUUCCGACACGACGUCCGUGGCAUGGCACUUAAAUUCUUACUACCACCAUCACGCAAAUUAGGUAAAAAACGUACGAAGGCCCCCUCAACUAAGGGGCAUAUUUGUAAUGCAUAGGAGGCUUUGUUUGUGAUUGUGAAAAUAUUACAUUACAUCUGAAAAACAGUAUGAUGAAAAAUAUUAUUUUACCUUUUUUAUAAAAAAAAAUAUGCUGUGUAUAAUACAACGGUUUGAUUAUAAUAUAAUUUAUUGAAAAACGUAGAAGUGUAACUCUAUAUAACUCUCAACACCUAAUGAAGCUGGAGACUUUUUCAACUUUUAUUUUUAUCCAAAUUAUUACGAAAUAUAAAUUUUAUUAAAUCUAAUAUAUCUAUUAGGUCCUAGCUGAAUGUAUUAAUAUUUUAUUUGGAAUAUUUCAUUGAUUUUCUCAAAAUACAUGUAGUAGAUUUGAUAAGCUAGGAGUGUGAUUUAAUAUCUAAAUGACUUGCCAUAUUCAGAAAAGAAGCAAUUCUGAAAUGUGGUAUUCACACCGUGUGCACCGUAAUACUCAAAAAAAAAUUAUUUUAACUUUUAAAAUUUAGAUUUUAAAAUUUAGGAUUUUAGAAUUUAGAAUCUAAGGUUUAUGGUUCAGUGUUUAGAAUUUAGGAAUUUAGAGUUUGGAGUUUUGGAGUGGUGCACUAAAUCUAAAAAUAGAAAAUAAAAUAAAAUCCUAAAAUUCUAAACUUUAAAAACUCUAACUCUAAAAGCUAAACCCAAAAAAAAUUUAAAAAAAAUUAUGAGUAUAUAUGAUGCAUUUUGGUACCAAAUAAUAAUCUUUAUUGAAUUUUGGGAGAGUAGUGCGCGCUCACGUGGACUUGGCUGUGGUGUGGUGUCCAUUAGGGAGGCAACCCCAAAUGGAUAUCUUGGGGUUAUUUUUUUAAGAAAUUUUGGUCAGUCGUAAUUUGACUUCAAAUUAUUUUUUAAUAAAAAAUAGAUUAUUUUAGAGGUGAAAUAUUUUUUCUAAUAUCAAGCAUCUUUUGAGAAAUAAAAAAAUAAAUUCUUAGCCUCGAGUCACACUAAAAUUUUUUUACACCGCAUAAACUAUUAAAUAAAAUUUCAUCAGACUAAUAUCACUAUAUUCUAAAAAGUUUUUUUUUUUUAAAAAAGAAAAGUUCAAAUACCAUCCUAUGGUUUCAUAUUUUUUUUCUUUAGUAUCCUAUAGUUUAAAGUGUAUUAAUUUAGUACCAUAUAGUUUCACACUUUUUUACUUUAGUACUCUGUGGUUUAAAGUGCAUCAAUUUAGCACCCUGUGAUUUCUUCUUUUUUUUUUUUUUCGUCGGCUCCUCUGUUAAUAUUUCAUUGAAUUAUAUAUAAAAACCUUCAGAUACCCUAUCUACAUUUAUCGAAUAUUUACUUUCGUACUUUUUAUUUUUAACUUUUUGUUACUGAUUUUUUUUUUCCUCGGUCAAUAUUUCGUUAAAUUAUAUAAAAAAAAUUUCAGAUACCUACCUAAGUUUAUCGAAUAUUCACUUUUGUACCCUUUAAUUUUAACUUUGUCGCUGAUUUAACGAAAAAAAUUAGUGAAAUAGAUAAAAAAAAGAGAAAAAUAAAACCACAGGGUACUAACUUGAUACGUACUUUAAACCACAGGAUACUAAACUGAGAAAGUGUGAAACCACAGGGGCUAACUUGAUACACUUUAAACUACAUGGUAGUAAAGUGAGAAAAUGUGAAACCACGAUGGGGUAUUUGAAGUUUACCCAAAAAAAUUUGGAGCUGAGAGGGUCAUUUCAAAAUCACCUAUAGUUAAGGGGUUUUCUAUACAUUUUUACCUACAAAAUAAAAGCACACAAUGGGGCUCUCCCGUCUCCCUCCUCUUAAUGCCCACAUGAUGUUCAUAAAAACUUGGGCAUAUGUUUUCCCCACCUCCUCCCAUUUCACAGGAAAAGAAGAGAGAGAGAGAGAGAGAGAGAGAGAGAGAGGUGGUAUCAUGUAGUUUGUCCUUUUGCUUCUGCUAAUUGCCUACAAUUGCAGUCUGGAGAAAUGGCAUAGUAAUGGUAUGAUGAGUUAAGAAAGGAGAAGCAGAAGCACUUCUGGUAGGGCAACUUGGAUCCUUUGGCAUUUCUGGCUUCCUGCAUAUACUGAAGAAGAUAUAUACAUAUAUAUAUAUAUGGUUCAUAUAUGGGCUAUUCAUACAGGAAGUUCAUGCAACAUAUUCUGUACUCUGUGUGUGGGCUUUUGUACUUAUGCUUCUUCUUCUGCUCCUUUGUUGCCUUCAAAUUAAUAAGAAUGUAGCUUUGUUGGAAGCUGUUAUAUAUUGAUAUUACUCUCUCUCUCUCUCUCUCUCUCUCUCUCUCUCUCUCUCGUUCACUCACUCACUCUCAGUGUCUAUAUUAUCAAACAAAGUUCUUGAUGCCAUAAAAAGUGUUGAGUCUUCGAUUCAAAUACUGCUUAACUGAAAAUAAUAUAUGUACGCUUUGCCUACAUGCGGUAUUAUCGUAAAAAAGAAAAAAAAAAUGUAUUUGUUGGACAAAUAAAUGAUCGUAGAGUCUCUGGUCUUGCAAUUUUGUCACGACCCGAUUCAAAAUUUCAAAGUUUAACUAAACUAUGGAUUCUAAUAUUGAAAGUUUGAUAAAGUUUGAUUGGUUUCAAAAUUAAGCCUAAAUUUAGUUCUUUUUGGACCCAAAUGAUUCUUGGUUGGGAUACCAGCUAGCUGUGAGGAUCACCGACGUUGAUCGCCUGUUGUCCCUCCGCUUCUCCCUUCUAUCUCCUCCUCUCUACUGCAAACCAUGCAUCAAGUGCCGCUUGAGCCUGAAGUUGGAGAAUCGUACGUGUUACGAGCAGUCCGUUCCUCGAUUUUCAGUAAAACCUGAGCUCAUGCUCAAACCCAGGUUUUUUGAUGUUAUAUAGACCUUGAUCUUUGGACGUUUCAGGGGGUUUAAUUAACUUGUUAGUUGAGUUUUACUUUGUCACCGUAAUUGGUAAAGUUCAAUCUCAUGCAUGCAGUCUCUGGUUACUGGUUCCACCCUUUCGAUUGACCGACAUUAAUAUUGAUAGGAACCCUAGCCUCAGGUUAAUUACCAAACACUCGAUCCCUUAUGGUCGGCCGUUCUUGAACCAAGACUCGAUCGUGGACUACAACGCAGUAAGCACUUGAAGUCUUGUUUUUGGGAUUGAUGUUAGUUGAGUUUCUUUGUUGAUAUAUUUUAGGUUCUUGAUCGAUGGAUUCCUCGAUUACUUUCGUGCCAUCUACGUGCUUUGAUAUGGACUUUGAAAAAUCGGUGAGUAGGAAUUAUCCAUCUGAAUUACACCAUUAACUUCCAUCUGAUUGUCCAUAUUUAUUUAUAUGAGUACUCUUAAGCUUGACAUCAAAUUUCUUGAAGAGAAAAGUAGAACCGGCUCCAAUAGAGCGCACCCUUUCCUCUUAUGUGUAGAAACCGAAAAUUAAAUUUCCUACAUGCCCAAAAGCGCACAACCACCGUAGAAAACAAGAAUGGAGAAAUAGAAUACUCACAAUAAUAAUCUCAAACAACUCCACAUAUAAAAUUAAACAACUUCACCAACAAUAUUCAAAACACUAUACAAUGAAAAUCGAAAAGUACUAAAUAAACCUUCAAUAAAAAACAUCUUACAAUGAAUGUUCACAAGAGAGCAGAAGGGGGAGAUUAGAGGUCACCCACCUCAAACUUAGCAAAAUCCUAACCACCUUUGGCCUCUCUUUCACACUUCUCUUGCACUUGAGAGAAACACCAAAAUGAGGAAAUUUUUGGAGCUAAAAAAAAGAAGCUCUCUUUUUCCUCUUAAC
Molecule: long non-coding RNA, 80777 nt
Filed under: Ananas comosus (pineapple)
Lineage: Eukaryota; Viridiplantae; Streptophyta; Magnoliopsida; Poales; Bromeliaceae
Description: long non-coding RNA (ACOM_LNC005125)
Source: RNAcentral